AUAUAUAUAUAUAUAUAUAUAUAUAUAACAAUCCAUUUUAUUAAGGAGGAUAGUAAUUAAUAGUUGAAUAAUAUUUGUGAUGGACCAACCGUCCCUAGCGCAAGUGGCAAAAGGGCUUGGUGGUUGGUAUCCGAGAUCUAAGUUUGAAUCCCAAUUGAUUCACAUUUCUAGCUAAAUUUAUUUCUAAAUGAAAUAAACGAAACGGAUAGCAUGCUAUCUAUUUCUCAAAGAAAAAAUAAUGUUUGUGAUGGCACAUAUCAUCGUUUUACAAGAAAAUUAAGAGCUACUUUUUUUUCCUGUGUGUGUGGGGUAACGGUCCGGGACCAAAGCGUCAUCUAUGUUACAGUUUUAGGGCUAAAAUAUUCAAAUGACAAAAAAUGUAGGGACCGAAUAAAGAAAGAAGUCUAUUGUGUCACACUUAGAGACCGAGAAAAGAAAGAAGUCUAUUGUGUCACACUUACAUCACAUUAUUAUUAUUUAUUUAUUUAUUUAUUAUUAUUUUUUUUUUGAGAAAUAGAUAGCGUACUACCUGCUAAUUCGUUUUAUUUCAUUUAGAAAUAAACUUAGCUAGAAAUGUGAAUCAAUUAGGAUUCGAACUUGGGUCUCGGAUACCAACCACCAAGUCUUUUUUCCACUUGCUCUAGAGAUGGUCGGUCUUACAUCACAUUAUUAAUAGCAAGUUAAUCACAUUUCUCUUCUUAAAAAAAAAAAUACAAUAAAAUUUUUUUUUUUAUUAACUAUGAGGGAACAGAUUAAUCUAAGAGAUGGAGACACCACGUCACCAAUAAAAUUUUUUAUAUUCUAGAUUCUUUUCCUAGUAAAGAGAUAGGUCAGAUAGGUCAGGGAAUAGUUACUCGUACAUUUUACCCAAAGACAUGCGAAGUGCGAGCAUGUUGUGUGCAUUGUUAGUACUCUAGUAGCCAAUGCUAUAUAUCAACCGUAGAUCAGAUGCAUGCAACUAAUGUGAAGCGCUUCCAAAAAGCAGCAGCAAGUCAUUACAGAAGCUUAAUUAAUAGGGGAGAAAAAAACAAAAAAAAAAAUUGCACCAAUAGUAAUAUGACACCUGGAGCAAAUCCAGUCACCGGACUUCCAUCCUGCACGGCGCCCUGCCCCGCCGCCGAAACCAAAUCCCUGCCCGCUGCCGCUGCCGCUGCCACUGCUGCUGCCUCCAACUGCAAAGUUGUCCUUGAAUGCGUUGCACCGGAAGCAGCUCAACCGGCUCGCAAAGUUGUGGGCCCCACAGGAGCAGUACCAGUCGCCGGGCCGGAUGUCCGCGCCCGUGCUGAAUCCGAAGGCACCGCCGCUGCGGGGGCGGGGUUCCCCACAGCGCUGGCAGGAGUCGCGGCGGCUGAAGUUGAGGUGGUGGCAGGAUCUGCAAUCCCAGUCUCCCCGCUUCCUAUUCAUCUUAAUUCGAUCACAACCGGACCUGUCAAUAAAUAAAUGCUGGAGAUCAAUCCAUUAUAAGAUUGAUUAUAUAUAAUUAGUUUAAGUAAUAGAGAGAGAAGUAGAACUUACAAAAAGAUGAGAGAGGGGCGGAUGAGAUGAUGAGUCGAUUAGUUGUGAGUUUCGGAGUGCAACAACUUGGGUGUGGGUGUUGUGCUGGUGUGUACUAUGUGUGGUAGCUUUUAUAGUUGUGUGGGCCUCAAAAAUAAUUGAGAACUCAAAAUUGGGCACUGUGGAAUGUAGCAUGACUAUUCUUUUACACCGGCAAAACUCGGAACAAUAAACUAAAAACUAAAGAAGGCAAAGAAGAGAAGGCUCAUAUCAAGGACAACAAAAAGUUACGAUCGAAUACAUAUGGGUGAAUAAUUAGUAAUUGGUAACAUCUUUUAUGACGUGCAUGGAUAGAAGAGAUCUGUGAGUACGUACACAUGCAUGCAUGUGGUUGCAUUAUUGCACAUUGAAAUAUGUAGAAGAAACUUCACAUUUCCAUUCAAUUAAUUCUAGCGUUAAUGUUAUGGCUCAUAUUUACAAGUGUCCUCAGGUCGUCGAAAGUGUACGCGGGCACAUGCGACAAGAACUAUAAAUUAAUACUUCUCAUAAAUAUCGUGGAUCAUGCCGGUAAUGCUUUUGAAUUAUUAUUGUUCAUCUGUGAGCUCCAAUUGUUCAUUUGAACACUUGGAUUCAACAAACAUAGUUCGAUAAUCGGAAUAUGAUAUAUAGCCAUGUAUUUCUCUGUCAACAGGAGCAAGUCUUGAUAACUAUUGAGUAAUUUGAAGCUGAGAGAUUCUUCAAUAUUUUAGCGACUAAGAAUGACAGGAAGAGAACAAGCCUAGCUAAAUACGAAAGAAAAAUAAAUUAUAGCCAAAACAAAAUUCAGAUAGAGCUCUUAAUGGCUCGAACCUGCGGACCAGUACAAAGUCAAAUCACCACCUGCUAAUCUAUGCGAAAUUGCAACCAAAAAUCUCGAAAAGUAUCCGCUGGAGAGGAUUUGAAGAGGUUAGAUUAACAGAAGGACGAACCGCAUCUAAGCCAUAAUUUCCAUACAUGGAAACUUAGUGAAAAGUGAAACAAAUAUGCCUGACACAAACCACUUCAAUCAAACAGAUCUGAGCAAACAACUCUUUGUUCCGUCUACAUCAUUGUGGAAAUUAUGUUCCAAUAAGAAGUAAAGAUAAGCUCAAAUUAAAGGAGACUAGCAAGUUCGAUAAGCAUGAAAUACUGUAGUGAUUCAUGUAGGCCUUUAUCUGGAGAACAUUUUGAAGAGAUUGAGAAGUAUUCAUUUAAUAAUAGUUCUCCAGCAGUAAAUUAGAAUUGUUGUGAAGAAGGUAAAGUAAAAUAACGGCAGGCAAUAGAAGCAGUGAUUUUCGACCAUAGUGUUGACCAUCUUUUCCUUUUGUUUCUAUUCAAUCCUUACUCUGAACCUUAUGUUUUUAUUUGAGUGGUUUUUGCUUUUGCUUUUGAUACUUUCUUUUACUCUCUUCUUAGUGACUCUAAGUCCGGAUGUAUAGGAAGAUGACAUAUGCCUUUACCCCUUUCGCUCGGGUGCUGUUAAAGGUUAGUUGUAGACUGUGAAGUGAAAGCUGCGAAAAGAGACGGUGAACUGUUUAGAACUAUAGAUUCCGCUCCUAGGGAAACGGUUCCAUGCAGUUGUGUGAUUCUCACUUAAACCUUAGUGAAUAAUACGAUCAAAUUCAAUAAAAAUCUCUGCCGGUAAUCAAAAGCAUUUACUAACACCACCAUGUCUUCAAAGAGAUUAGAACUGAUGUAAUCUGUCAAUAAUGCUAUUGGACAAAUAAAGACAGAAGUUGAGUUGAGUUCAGCUGGAUUUUAGAUCAAUCCCACUUAAUGCAGGUUGGGAUUUUUCAACUAUAGCCCCAUCAUAUUUCAAAAUUGAACUACCCAAAUUGUUGUAUUGAUUGGUUCAGGUGGUCCAGACCCUAAAUCGGGGAUCUAUUAAUGCGUCUGAAAUCUAAUAUGUUCAUCCACCUUGACUAUUGAUCAGUUGAAGAUCUUAGAAGUCAUCCCAUUGUUUUUCACUAUUUCGCAUCUACCUUGAGUUCCAUGCAUAAAAUUAGCAAAGCUGAAGGAAGCAUCCAAGAAGUUCAAAUAAUGUCCAAAAUGCCAGUUAUAGAACGGAAAAACCAGUCUAAACACUCUAGGUAGGGAAGAAGGAAAAAAAAAAAACAGAUUCUAUAUCUGGAAAAUAUGAUAAAUGCAAGGUAGCUAAUGUGCCAGUUUAAUUGCUAUAAGAAAUCAGCAAUAUUACUUGAAAUUAGAGAAUAGAAUCAUCAACUACAUGACAUUUCUAGCCAUUUGUCAUUCGACUGGUUCAAAAAGGACUGAAAACUGAAACCAGGUCCAAAUUUUAUUCGUCUCACUACAUCCAUGUAGCGCAUAAUUAUUGAAAUCAGAUAUACAAAUAUCAGGAAAAAUACCAAAUUAGCCAGCAGUAUCAUAGGACAAUGGAUAUACCACAAGUAAUGGAAAUUUUGCACAGCUCAAUCAGUUUGGGUGCCGAUUAAAGGCUACAUAUACACGAACUGGUAACUGGGAGAUCAGGCAUACUUGGUGGACAAUUCAACAACACAGUAGGCAAUAUAAGAUCAUAACUUGACCAGAUGAUUGGUUGAGAAGAUAUCAGUUAGUAUUAACCUAAUUGUAGAGUUUGGUGUAGAUCAGAAGAAACUUGCAGCGGACUCUUUGAGCUUACAGCUUCCACUAACAACUCUCAGCAGUCUAUAUCUUAAAAGAUUGGUAUCAAGGUUCUGCGAAAAAAGCUAGCAUUUGGAAUACAGAAGAAAAAAGAAAAAAAGGAUGCUGGACCAUAGAGUUUUCUAAAUUGACUGAAGGAUCGCAAAAAGGGUGAGUCAGUGGACAAAUAUGUACGUUAAUGGCAAAUAGAUGCAAUGAAGAAAAUUACAUUCUGCAGUGAAUAUAGGGGAAAUCCUAGAAUUAAGUCGCAUACCGUGAAAAACAAGUUACUUAAAGAAAACAUCAAUAACUGCGCACAAACAGAUAAAUCUCAGAUCUGUGUAAUGUAACAGGAUCUACAAAAUUCUGCAAAUGCUAGGCUGGAUUGGCAUUUGCAUAUCAAAAGGAUUAUACAAUGAAGAUAGGACAAAAAGAUUUAAGUUGUGCACUGCACAGUAAAAAUACGACCAACGACUUUACAGUGCACUAAAAUUUAUAAGAUAAAGCUAUUAAAGCAUGUAUAUUUAGCUGGCAAUAUAUCCAAUCAUAACAGGCUGAAUUAGCAUAGAAGGUUGAACAGUUCUACAGAUUGCUAUUUUCCUUUUCUUUCCUGUUCUUACAAUUUUCUGCCCCGCAGAACAAAACAAGCGUGCCCUGAAGAAUGUUUUCAUCUUAUGCUCUACAAUUUUGUGCUUACUCAUCUACCGUGCGUCCUCCAAUCUUUUGUUCGAAAAUUGACACCUACUUUCUGGUGCUUAGUAAAGUUUGCAUCUUGAUGACAAUUCCUGACAAGGCACAUACUGUAAGCAUACUGUACCCAAACUGCUCCAAGAGAUCUGACGCGUAUAAGUGAUCCGUAAUCAAUCACUAAUCAUCCAGUUUGAUAUUAUUCAGAGUAAGAGAUUCACUUGUUACUAACUAGUUGAUGCAAUACAAAAGGUAAGAGUAAUCUUUUGUGAAUGAAAGACUAAUUAUACAGAGGAUAUGCAGAGCCUGAGUUAUUGCAAACCCUAAGCGAAAUGGAACGGAAACAAGAAAGAGGGAGAGGGAUGGGGGAAGGAAAGCCCUUACUCCUUACUCAGCUGCUCGUGUCUCCGCCUCUGGAUUCGGAUAGCCUCUGCAGGCCCUGCCGAGCCGAUUCCAAGGAGGGGUCGAUCCGGACGGCGGAGUCGAAGGCGCUCCGUGCGGCCUCGGGGGAUCCCUUGUGCUCGUAGCACUCGCCGAGGAGGGCGAAGGCCUUGGCGUUGUCGGGGCUGAGACGCACGGCGUCGAGGAGGUCGGCGAGGGCGGCGUCGAGGCGGCGGCGGCGGUUGAGGGCGAGGUGGAUCUCGGCGCGCUUGAAGAGGGCGUCGCCGCGGUCGCGGGGGGAGAGGGACUUGGCGGCGGGCGGGGUGAGGGCGGCGUCGAGGGAUCGGAGCGCGGGGAGGCGGUGGCCGAGGAGGUCGAGGGCGAGGGCCUUGAGGAUGUGGGGGGCGGCGUCGCGGGGGUCGAGGGCGGCGGCGAGGUCGGCCUCGGCGAUGGCGGAGCGGGCGAGGGCGGAGGCGGAGGCGGAGGAAGGGGAGGAGGAGGAGCGGGCGCGGGCGAGGAGCUGGGCGCCCUGGAAGAAGUGGCGGCUGGACUGGGCGGAGGAGUUGGAGCGGCGGCGGAGGCCGGAGAGGGCGCGGCGGGGGACGGAGUGGAGGCCCAGGAACAUGGCCAGGGCGAGGAAGAGGACCGCGCCUUGAAUCGCCAUCGCCGCCCAAUCCCCGCCCAUCUUCCGCCCUCCACUGCCUCCCAACUUACCACUGGUGACUGGUUCAAGUCGCCGAUGCCCCCAUGGUACCACCUUAACAGCUCCGCCGCCGACUUCCUGGACAGGGCAACUUGUGCUGUGGGCCUGAUUUGGGCCUCUGUCCCGCCAUUAAGAUCGAGCGUCCUCUCUGGCCCGGUCGAUUGGCGUGUGGUGGCGGGCCAUUAGUCAAAAUUGUGAAAAGUAAUUUUUUACCGUAUUAAUUUGAACUAAAAUAUGUUUAAUUUAAAAUUUUAAAAUUUAGAUUCCAUGGGCUAUGCACGCUUGUGGGCCUCAGUGUGUACGCACUCCGAGAAGCCCAAUAAGCAAUGUUGCAGAUUCCCGCCUCUGCUCUCAUUUUAAUUCCCUCUCUCCUUUGUUUUGUUUUUUUUUUUUUUUUUUUGUCCUCCAUUUUCUCGCUUCCCACUGUCGCACUCCCAUUGAGGGCGUAACUAAAAAUAAAAACACAUUAAAAAAAGAAGAAGAAGAAGAAGAAGAGAAAUAAGGAAACUGAGAGCAGAAAAGCGCGAUGAGUGUGAGGACGACGUAUGCUCCUCAGAGGCUGGGGCGUCCCUGUUGCUCUCGGAGGGGCUAGGUUUAGGUCUAGGUUAGUGUUAGGGUUUCCGAGCCAUUCCAAUGGAUUCCCCCGACGCCGUCGCCAAGCCCUCCUCCGCCGCCGCCGCCGCCGAAUCGCCGCAGGUUAAGGUGCCGCUUCGAUCUUUCCAUCUCCAAUCCGUCCCUCUUUCUUCGAUUCUUCAACCCGUUGUUCACCAGAUCUUUCCCUUUUUUUGCUGAUUUAAUGAUGCCAUUUCACUUCUCCCAGCGAUCUACUUCUGAUCGAUGCUGCUGCAGCUCUCUAAUGCUCUCUUCCAUUUUUUAUUUUUAUUUUUAUUUUUUAAUUUUGCCCGAUUUUGGUUUUCUGUUGGAUGCUUAUUGUGAGAUCGUGAAUUUUCUUUAGAUGUUGUAUCUCCAUUUAUUUAUGUGUGAAUAUUUUUUACUACUUGUGAACAAAGUUGGGGAUUUUUGGUCGGUGGUGAACUAAUUUCCUGAGAGCUCUGAGAUUGAACUCGAGGGGUUUUUCGCAGGCCUAUUGUUUCCAAGUAAAAGGUAUUGGAAUUAUUUUACAUUCAUGGCUGCUGCUGCUUGCGAAUCCCUUAGCAGUUAUCGAAGCAUAAAAUCACGACAACAUGUUUUGGCACAAAUGGAGCAUUUUUUUUUUUGUUUUGCUUCUUUUAGUUCCUUGUUCUUUUUACUGGAAAAUUUGUUUUUUUUUUCCGCCAAUGCAAGCCUAAUAUCUUCUUUUGUGAAUAAGUCAUCUUCUUUGACAGGUCAUAAAUCAGCAUAGCAGCUGGUUUUUGUGCUACUAAUAAGCACCUGCGUUGUCUCUUGAUUCGGAUUUCUGAUGCUAGAGUUUUCCUUUUUUUUUUUCCUUUUGUAGGACUCUCCUUUCUUAAACUUUGCUAGCACUUUGUCCCCCAUACAACCUGUCGAUACCAGGCCUGCUGCAUUUGUCGAUGUGAACUUCCCUUCGCCGGAACCUGUUUUCAAAACACCACACACUAAUCACCUAAGAAAGUUGGAUCUCUUGAGAAGGUACUUUGACAGCUUUUACUACUGGGUAGUCCUGUUAGACAAUUUUGAUUGUUGACAUCAUUCACCAUUUUUCUCUUCUAGAUGCGAGCAGCUCCCUUCUCCUUCUCAUAACCCUAAGUUGUUUUCAGAAGUUGUACCUCCCGUGUCAUCAUCUAUGGCUCAGCUUAAUACUUGCUGUGGAAAAGAAUGUGAAGGAGAUGAAUCUCUCCCGCAGGAUCGACCGUGUAGCAGUCCUUCAACUUGUGUCGAUGCAUUUCUUGUGGAGCCCUCAGAAGACUGUGAGAACCCGUCAGGUUCGCGAGAUGCCUCCCUGGAAGAAGCUUCAAAACUGUCUCAAAUUAACAAAAGUGAAGUUCAAAUAGAUUGUCGCCAAAAGGAUAGUGGUCCCGUAAGGGAUUUGUGUUCUAAUUCACCUAGUCUCCAUUUGGACCAAGAUUCUGGUGGUUUGCGAACUUCCCAGAGUGAGUCUAUUAGCACUAAGGAGAUUGAGAUGAAAAUUCCGGCUUCCACUACUAAGGAACUCAUGGUUGAGGAUGUAAAGUUUUCUUAUCAAGCUGAACAGCCAUUGGCGGGCCUAAAGAAAAGCUCAAAUGAAGAGCACUUGGGAAAACCUGAUAAACAAAAAGAAGUUAAAGUAAUACCACAUACUGAGGAGCUUCAGCCAGUGCUGAAGAAUGCUAUUAAAGGUGAUGGUUCAUCUGUGGAGCGGGGCGCAGCUACACUUAUUCAAGGCCAUAGAGCCCAAGAUGUUAAGCUGCACACUGGAAGUGGGCAGUGGGGUGAAUCGAGUUGUAACCCUCAAUUUCUGCCACAACCUAAUGAUGCUAGCCGAGUGGUUGACAGUUACAAUGACAGUUGUCUAGCAGUAUCCGUUGUAUCUGCUGAGAACCAGACUCUAUGGGAUCAGGAAGUAUGGUCUUUUACUGCACCCCUUAUUAAUUCUGGUUCAGGAUUUAGACUAUUUUUUUGUCAUAGUUUGCUAUUUAAAUAACACAUUUUUCGUUUUAUUGAUUUGUUUUGAUAUGCUGUUAUUUGACCUGUAUAACUGCAGUCCUAUGUUGCAAGUUAAUUGUGGCCUGCUAUUUUUUAUUGUUGCCUCUUUUCUUUUGAUGUUGCAAUAAAAUCUUUUGACACUUCAUGUAGGAUGGGGCUGCUCAAUGUCCACGUGGCAUGCGCAAACGCCUGCAGUUUGAGGCUGUUGAGAAUAAUCAGAAAUUGUCUUCAUGGCUCUACAGUGACCUUACAGACUCAACUGACGAUGUUUCCAAUGCAGAGUCACAACUUCAUUUGGACAAGCACUCUGUAAAUGCUUCUGAUGAAAUUCCCAUUGUAAAUUCUAGCAAAUCAGAGACUUUUCUGCAUAAAUCGUCAGCGAAUGUCAAUAGGGGCGGCCAAAAGAAAGCAACCACCGUCCGGAUGGUUCCUAGACCAUCUGGGAUUGGCUUACAUUUAAAUAGCGUUGCAAGCAUUGGAUUAAGUUCAGAAAAAUCCUUAACUAAUCCUGGUAUUGCAAGCAUUAAAGAGGAAAACCAAGAUAACCCAAUGCUUAAAUUACCAGAAAAUUCUUCUAGUUAUCAAUCUCCUCUGGAUGUGGAGCCCCUUCGUAGCUCCCAGCCGUCCAAAUGUACAGACAUCAUCGUGACCCCUAUAAAUGUAAAAAGUGUGCCCGCAAAAGAUGCUAGCAGAUCAGAAGAGUCAAGUAAAAUGAGCCCUAGAAAGAAGAGGUAAGUGGAUUGUAUAGAAUGAUUUGAUAUAUUGCAUUAUACGUGUCUUGUUAUUUCAAAUAUUAGAUGUCUCAGGAAGAAGGCACCAGAGGAUGAGGGCCAUAAGCGCUGCAACUGUAAGCGGUCGAAAUGCCUUAAACUGUAAGCAUGUGUAUACAACUUUUUAUUUUUUGGGCUUCUACAUACAUAUUUUUCGAAAUUAUGUAUUUAAGCUUGUGAAAUGGUAAUAUCCGAGUUGUCAUAUACUUCCCUUGAAAGUGCAGUUUCUUAUAAUAGUACAUUUAUUAAGUUUGGGAUUGGGAUUAUUGGGUUCAUGGGGAAUUGUUUGGUUUUGUAUCUGAGAGAUUUUUCAAAUAGGGACACUAUUGUAAGUGCAAGGACCUAUAGUGGAAAAUUUAAUUUUUAAGAAGGCAUAGCUGAAAAUUCAGGUUUCCCAUAUAUAUAUAUAUAUGUGUGUGUGUGUGUGUGUGUGUCAUGCGGCACUAUAUCUAAAUAUCUUUUAUAUAUAUGUAUGUAUGUAUAACCAUGCGGGGCUACAUCUAAAUAUCUUUCCUUUUCAGUGUUAAUAAUUAUUUUUCUUGCCUCUUUUGUGGGAUCUUGCAGUUACUGCGACUGCUUUGCUGCUGGAGCAUUCUGUUCUGAAGCUUGUGCAUGCCUGGAGUGCUCCAAUAGAUCAGAAUAUCAAGACACCAUUCGUGAAGCUAAGCAACAGAUAGAGUCUCGAAACCCACUUGCAUUUGCUCCUAAGGUUGUGUUGCGAGUUACUCAACAAAACCAAGAAAAUGAAGUAAGAACUUUCAUCUUGUCUAGUUCUCAGGUUAAUUAUCUUCAAACGGUAAGAUUGAUUAUUCUCAUCUUUUUCAGGAGAAUAAGGGGGUAACACCACCCUCAGCAAGACAUAAAAGGGGAUGCAAUUGCAAAAAGUCACUUUGUCUCAAAAAAUAUUGCGAAUGCUAUCAGGUCUUUAGAUAGUUGUAGAGUUUCUUAUUAUUCAAUAUGUGUUCUUUUAAAGAUUAUUUAUUCAUACUUCUGUCUCUCACUAUCAUUCUGAAGGCUGGUGUUGGCUGUUCCUUUGGAUGCCGUUGCGAAGGUUGCAAGAAUACAUAUGGCAGAAAAGAUGGUAAGUAUGUAGUUAAAAUUGUUAUGCCCUUUGGUUACUAUGGUUAAAUAUUUACCAAGAGGUUCCUCUUUGUGCUAUCCAGCUAGUAUGCUUUUAUCUCUAGUGGCUCAGUCCAAUUUACUGUUACCCAAAAGAGUCCCUCUAAUUGAUUAAGACCUGAAUGGUGGAAUGAAAAUUGAUGUGUGAUGAAUUAGAUGAAUCGUUACUAUGAUCUCUGUAGGGGGUUAGUUUCACCACAUAACCCUGCACCUUGAUUGCUUAAAGAGUAGUGUAAUGAAAGUGAUUAAGUUUGCAGGUGGUUGGGGGCAACAAGAAAUUAAAAUUUACGACUCUUAAUGUUCUGGUGAAUGCAGGAUACUGGCUUGUUAAGAAAUUCCUUUCUGCGGAUUGCCAGGAAUAGAACAUAGAAAACAUCCAGUAGACAUCUGCUGGAAUAUUCUAUGUAUAUUAUUUGGAACAUUUGGAUUUAAUGUAUAAAUAAAACAUUCUAAUUGUGCUUUCAUUAUUAACUUCCCUGCUCUUGCCUGUGAUUGAUAUUUGUGUUCAUUUGGAGGUUGCGGUGAGCUUAUAGAAAUUGAACACAAGAAGCCAGUGGAGAGAGAAGAGAAGGAUCUAUCUGCUGGGAAACUGAGAAGCACAGGAGUCAAUAUGGAAGUUAUAAACACUUCCCAACGCCUUUUACGCCUCUCCCCUGUCACACCAUCUAUCCAAGGUUCAAAGUAAGAUUUCAAAACUUUAUAAAGCUUGUGCUCUGUUUUGUCAAUGUCUUAGCAUUUUAUUAUUCUCAGGCUUAGUAGCUAUUCUUUGUAUUCCACUAUCUUUUUUAUUUUCUUUAUUUUUCUUUGGCUUCAACUUUUUCAUCCUUUUCUUUGAUUGCAUACAGCAGCGGAAACAAUGUGCCUAAAUCUCAUAAGCUUCCCUCAAGUUAUCACACGUCUCCUGAAUCUGGGGCACUAGUUUUACCAUACUAUGUGGAGUCUCCUAGUUCCCCAACGAAUUCAAUGAGCAUCAACACAUUCGAAGAGGCAAGAGAAGAACUAUCUAUGAUCCCCUAUGAUCAAGACCAAGCUUUGCUAAAACUGGACUCAUUUUCACCGGGAUGGGACGGGUUUCCUGACAUAUGUAAUCUCAGCCCCUUGACAAGCCUUUCACCAAGUACCACUCACCCUUCCUCAUCUAAGAUCAAAGAACCCAAGAUUAUACAAAAAAAAGUGUUUCCUUGGCGAAGCUCACCAGCCACUCCAUUGCCCCAUUUUGCUGAGAGAAAGAUUUUUUCAGAGCCAGACUCCGAAAGUGUACUUCCUAACAUUCGGGAAGAUGAUAUUCCGCAGGAGAUUUCAGACGAACGCUUGCCCAUAAAGUCUGUACAGGCGAGCUCUCCUAAACAGAAAAGAGUAUCUCCACCCCAGAGACGGCUACAUGGAACAAGAUCGAGCUCGUCGCCUAGUCUGAGAAGUGGUAGGAAAUUUAUUUUGCAGUCGGUUCCUUCAUUUCCUCCGCUUACUCCCUAUAGUAAAAACAAUAGAGGGCAAGGUUCAUGAUGAAGCUUUUAAUUCAUUGCAGGUGAGUCGACUCACUCUUUUAUUCUUGUUAUCCAGCGAUGUUCAGCAUUAUUUGGUUUAUAGCUUUCUAAAGUGAUGUGUUUUGAUGAUUCUUUGCAUAUGAUGCAGGUGGUUUUCCUUUGGUGUCUAUGUGAAAAAAAUAUGCUAGACGUGCCCAAUUAGGUGAAAUUUUUUAUCCUUAUCCGGUGCGCGCGUUAGAGCAUUGAGAGGACCCUCUGCUCUACCAACUGACCUAUCCCGACCAUUUUUGGUGAGUGUCCGAAAUGAGGCAAAAUCUGCAGCGGUUGAUCAACUUUGCAGAAUGUUACUGGAUUGGCUGACAGUGGUACCUUAUUAUGUCUAAAAUAGUUUAUAUUCUGCUCUCUGUCUUCUUUAUGUACUCUGCCUGAACACAAAGAAUUCUUUUUAGAUGGUAUGUAAUUGCAGAUAGCAUUUGACAGUUUAAUAUCAACUGAUUUAUUUCUCUUCGAGUGCUGAUAAAUAUGCAUUUUAACGGAGCAUAUGCUUUUAUUAGAAGAAUUAGGACUUAACUCAGAAAGCUUGAUAUGUACCUUGAGAUGUUGUGCGGUUAUUGUUGUUGCUGUUCUUAUUUUGUGUAAGCGCUUUUCAGCGUAUGUUUUCCUUAUGCCUCUGUAAUUCUACAUGUCUGGUGCCCUUCAAAAAAACUAUGGUGCUUUAUCAUUUAUUAAUUUAUUCCCAGGUGAUGCUGCGUUCUAUAUCUUUUGAGUGUUAUGCCUCAUUAUAAUAUUUGUGGAGAGAAUAUUUCAAUGUAUUUACUUGGUUAAAUGAAAGGUGAAACAAUUGUAGAUACCAGCAUGAAUGGUGAGCACUAACAGAUCGUUAAAUUGCAACUAAGAGUUACCACAAGAGAAUGUAGUGUGACUAAUUACACUGCAAUACUAUUAAAACUGCAUUUGUAUCAUAUACUUUCUCUUCAAUAUCGACUUCACCUCAUUCUUUGCAUGUAAAAGGACAAAAAAAAAAAAAACAGAAACAGGAAUAAUUCUGAUACAAUUAAUCCUCAUCAGAGUAAUAGAACAUAGCAAUGAUAUCAUAUAAACCAAGCAAAGCAAGAAGACGACCAAACAAUACAAACGCUCUCUGGAGAUCGAGCCAGUGCUACCGGCCGGACAACGCCGAGAAAGCGAACGAGUAGCUUGACGAGGAUGGCGGCCGAUCUUCUGACGAACUGGCGACUUUCCUUUCGGAGGAUUUAUCUUCACUGUCAUCUUGAUCAAUGGACAGCAGGUCUACCACAAUCAUCUCCGGCUCUGGCGGCGGGGCGACACAGACCCUUCCCUCGAGCAUGUCCACCACCCGCGGCAUGCUCGGCCUUACGUUCGCCUUUUCCUGAAUGCACCAAAGCGCCACGUAAACCAACGUCUCCACCUGCUUCUUAUCCACUCCUCCCUCGCAUCCCGUCGCCGUCAGCCUCCCGUCGACGGCCUCCAUGAUCCUCCCUUCCCUCACCUUCUCCGCGACAAUCUUUGGGAAGUACGACCACCUCCGCUCCGAUGCAUUGCCGCCUUCAUCGAUCAGUCGGACGUUACGCCGGCCUCCGACGAUCUCCAGCAGCACCAUUCCGUAGCUGUAGAUGUCAGACUUCUCCGUGAUCCCAGCCCCCAGCAGCCACUCCGGUGCCAGGUAUCCUUUUGUUCCCCGCACAGUCGUUACUAUUCUGCUCUGAUCUCUACCCAUCAGCUUCGACAGGCCGAAGUCCGACACGAGCGCAUGGAAGCACUCAUCGAGCAGUAUGUUCUCCGGCUUGACGUCGAGGUGCAGCACCCUCGACCUGCAGUCGUGGUGCAGGUACGCAAGCGCCUUGGCCACGUCGAUAGCUACUCGGUACCGUACCGCCCAUGGCAAGCACCGGGGGCUGCCGCUGCCACCGCCGCUGCGGAAUCCGUCAUGUCUCGAAUGCGAAAAUAUCCAGCUAUCCAACGAGCCGUUGUGGGCGUACUCGUAGACGAGGUAGUGCGGGCCGCCGCAGCCGCGCGGGCCGAGGCAGUAGCCGAGGAGGCGCACGAGGUUCACAUGCUGGACGCUGCCGAUUGCAGCCACUUCAGACUGUAACUCCAUAACCCCGUGCUCAGCACCGUCAAUCCUCUUAACCGCUACUGCCGUGCCGUCAUCGAGAAUUCCUUUAUACACAGCGCCCGAAGACCCUCGUCCGAUCAAUGCUCGGAAGUCGUCAGUGGCUGCCUCUAGCGUCUUGUACGAGAAUUUCGUAGGUAGACCGGCGACUUUGCGGAGGAAGCUGUAUUCGAGGCGGAGAUCUUCGCCUUCGAGAGACGAAUUCCUCAUAGUCGACUUCUUUCUUCUUUCCGGAUCGAGGACAGUGUAGUCGAGCAGUAUCCACGCUAUGACUAUCAGGAGCAACGAGAAGAUAACGGCGGCGACGAAGAAUAGUGUUUUCGAUACAAUGAACCGUGAGAGGAUGAUUAAGAUUAGGAUGAGGAGGAAGGUGAGAGAUGAGAGAACGAGGAGCUUCGUAGUUUUGGGUUCCAUCGGAGGCUCAACAAGGGGGAGAAAAAAGAACGGCGUUUCGUUUCAUGAUCAUCAAUCAAAAGUUGAACCAAUGUGUAGUAGUCGGGUUCCUGGAGAGGGAAAAGAAGAAAGAGUCUUUGAUAUUAUUGUUUUUUGUUGCUGUUUUUUGUUGCUGGUGUAUAUUUUGGUGGUCGAUUAGAAAAAAUCCCCUCUCGUGCAGUUGACUAAAAAUUUAAGUAUGUUUAACUGUUGCUUUGGUGCCGACCCACAUGGAUUUAAUUAAUUAUAUGAAGGGGGAGGUUAUGACGAUGAUAAUGAAAGAGAAAAAGAAAAAAACUUUGGAAUGUGUCUUGUAUAUGCCUUCAAACACAAAAAAGUCAAUGGUGAUAUCUAGGAGUAGGAGAUAACUAAAUUACCAAGUUGAUUGUGUAUUGAAGUAUUCAAUCCGAUUUUUCAGACAAGAAUUUGCAAUACUAUCGCGCUACAUUCGCUUAAAUUAAAAAAAGAACGGUGCUAAAUUCAAGGGAUCUACCAGAAUAAUAAUGCAACUUAUUUAUAAUUCAAGCCUCUGUUUAGCAAAAGGUGAAAAAAAAAUGAUUGGUACAAAUCAAAUCAUACGUAUCUCUGCUAGAUUAUGGACUAUAGAUAUAUACUGAUACAUUUAUACUUUUCCAAAAUACAAUUUCUUAUAAGAACAUUCUCAUCUUCGGUUGGGAAAUUUUGUCAAACUAAUUCGAAUUGAAAAGAAAUCUUUUAUUGGGGGGGGUACUUCUGUAAUUAGAAACUAUGUUUUACCGGGCAUAUAUACACAAAAUUUUCAUAACAUAAUGUGCGUGCUUGCGUGGGCGCGCAUGCACAUUAUCAUCUAAAUCGAAAUAAUUCUUUAAUUUCUGCUACCGUGUCGAAGGCUCACCAAAAGAACAACCUGCAGCAUAGAUGCUCCGCGUUCACUUAAAGAUCAGUGAAAAGAAUCACUCCUACUAUCUAUACGGCCGUAACCCAAAGCCGAGAUGUGAUUAGUAUCCAACUUUCUCAAAUACCCAAUCACCUGAAGUAUUACUGUCACACGAUCUCGUUAUUUAUGGUGAUUCAAUUUCUCGAAAAGAGAACUACUACUAAUAGUUAAGUAGGAGAUUAAUGAUAAUGAUCCUGAAACUAAUACUUAGGUAACAACACAACCAUGCACCGUACAAUGAGAAGCAAGAAAUUAGCAUAAUGCAGUCAAAUUGCCACAAAAGGAUAAUAUGGUGACUCCCCAUAGCAGCCAAGUGAAAUGGAGGAUGCUACUGUUGCAUUGAGGAAUCACUCGAUUACUAAAUUUUUGAGCAUAUGAGGAUAACGUUACCACUACUCUUUUGCUCUCAGCGUGACUGUUCGCAUUCCUUGUAUCUCAGUCCAUGUAGUUUCCUUCCAUAUCCAGGUAUCCAUCCAAAUCAUUUUCCAUCAUCAUCCUCAUGAGCACCGCGGCCUUCUCUCGCGCCCGGGCAGAGCCACGGACGGACAAAUCCGCCAGCAGCGACGACCACUCAUCAUGGUUCAACGCAGCCUCCUUCAAGCACUCCCCGCUCUCCUCGAACAACUUUAUAAGAAUUUCCGCCGCGCUUUCCCGACUCACCGUGCAGCCCUUCCUAAGCCCGUCGACCAUCAAGCUCACCACUCCGUCCACCGCCAUGAUUGCCUCGAUGCCUUCGUCAAACCUCGCCAAGAGACCAAGUACGGUGAAAGAGCCAGCAAGCUCUUCUGGAGGACUUUCGAGGUUUCCUACCAAUAGCGGAACGACUCCGGCCCGUACGGCCAGAGUGCAGUUGCCGUGGAAAUGUAGGAGCUCCGCCAGCGCGCUAAGCAGGUGGUGGUUGGCCGGCGAAGAAGAAGACACAUUGGUAGAACAUCUGAGUGCCUCGACGAUCACCUCCACGGUUCCUGCCAUUGAUCGAGUAUGAAUGGACGUUCAUGGACCUUUUUUUUUUUUUUCUUAAGAAGAAAGAAAAAAAAAAGAAAAAAAGAAACAGCUUGAGCUUUCAAAUUAGCAAAAAAGGAUACUUAAUAGUAGUAGCGAAUAGAUGUCCUAAAUUCAAAUCUUUUAAGCCUCCUAGUUUCAUUUGAUUUCUUUCCAUUAAUAUCUGACCCGUGUAGUCGUGUGUGUGUGUGUGGUGAAAAUCAAUCUGCUGGCGUGAGGUGAGAGAGGUAAGGGGAGCGUCGAGAACUGUGUAUAAGUAUAACUGAAUUGCAUAAUAUACCGUUCUGUUCUCCAGAAGCUUAAGAUUUUGGAGACAAAAAUAAAAUAAAAUAAAAUGGUUUCACACCUGCGACUCCGAGUGGGGCCUUGUUCUUGUCCAGCAUGGCAAGGCUGCAGAGCAAGGAGGCGGCCAGCUUGGCAGCGUGAGGAGGUUUAGAGGAGAGGAGGAUGGAGUUGAGGAGGGUGAUGAGAUUGGGAGUUUGGGCCAAGGAGAGCUUGAGGUUGGUGUUAAGGGAGAGGUUGAAAAGGAUGGACAGGGACAGGGACAGUGUCUGGGUGUGGGUGGACGAGGGGGUGGCGGCGGAGAUGAGGCUGAGGAGGAGAGGGACGGCACCGGGGGCGGCGGCGACAUGCUUGCGGUUGUGGGAGCUGACUUUGGUGAGGGAGGAGAGAGAGUGGAGGGCGGCGGCGGUUUGGCCUUCCGGGGAGUCUAGAGAUUGGAUCUGCUGCAGGAGUUCGGCAAUGAUUUCCGUGCCUUGUGCCGCCAUGACCGGACGUCCAGUUCUUCCUCCUCCUCCUCGGGAGGAUGUGUUAUGCAAUGUUGUGUUUACUGCUGUUUGCUGCUGUUUAGGUAGACAAGACAAGCUCCUUGGAGCUUUUGCAAAUGGCAAAGACUAAACGACAUUUCCCUAUCUAACGUGGUGAAAUGGCCGAGGAGGAAUGCCCAUGGAAUCGAUGUACCCAAAGCCAUUAAAAUGUCAAUCCAGAGAGUCAGCAAAGGUCGUAAUACUAGGCAACAGGAAGACGAGAGUACAAAGAAUAUACCGUUACCUCUUCUUGGAUGAACGCUGUUCGUCGCCAGCUACAAUCCUAGCAGGCAAAAAGAAAAUACAAUUCAAAGGAAGAAUAGAACUUCACGAGAUAAGCGGCAAGAAGAAUUCAAAACAUCUUAAAUGUCUCACAAUUGUCACAAGAAGAUACAGCGCCUCUUACGGUUAUUCGUCCAGCUCCAUUAACAACGACACGUUAGUAGUAAACAGCUGCAAGCACACACUACAUGAGUUUUUUUUUCUACUCUUAUUUUCUACUUCACCAAGCCCCGUUCGGCUUCCAUAAAACCUUUCAACUGGAACUAUGCAUUCACUUUCUACAGCUUGUAUUUCCUACUUCAUCAAACUCCGUUUGGCUUCCAUAAAACCUUUCAACUGGAACUACGCAUUCACUUUCUACAGCUUGUAGUGUAAGAAAGAUAGAGGAUCAUCCCACCCGCAAAGAGUGUGACCAGUAGUUAAAGAGAAAAAUAGAAACAAAAAAAUAAAGUAACCAAGGCCAGAUAAACAACCAAACCGUCAGACGCAGUUGCUACCACGCCAGUAGCACGGAGCUUAUCCUUAAAUGAAACUUUACUCACCGCUGGGAAGAAAAAGAAGAAAAAAAGAUUAAAAAGGAAAAUUCUACAAAUAAAGUAGAAAGACUGGGAUGACAAGAAACACAUGUUUGUAAAUCCAUACAUGAAUACAGCAAGCAUCAGGUGAAAGAUAAACUACAGUAAAAAUCCGAAACUAGUACAUCACUAAAAACAUCUCAUAAAGCUAGUCACCUUAAGGCUGUUGCUUUCUAUCAUGUGAAAAGGAGCAACAACAACAGUCCAGGAAUUCAUGAAAAAACUUUUUAAGCUCAUACAAAACUAUUUAUUUCCCUACUUCCCAGCAGAGUCCGGGGAACCAUCUCCAUACGAAACCAAGCCCUUCUUCCCACCAGAACUGGUGGAUGGAGAUCUUGAAUUUUCUUUGCUUACGCGCUUCUGUGCAGGGGUGUUUGGGGAGGACCGGGACCUAGACUGUGACCUGGACCUGGACCGGGACACAGAUGGGCUCCUGCUCCGCGAAAUUGAAUGCCGGUUUUCGGAGUCUCGACCGCCACGAGCCCUUAGUUUCUCAGCAGGGGGUGAACGGCUACGGACCGGGCUCCUACUAUAGCCACCUCUUGUCCGGUCGCGGUAGCCAGCAGGGCUUCGUGAUAUGCUUCGGCUACGGCUCCUCCUGCUUCUGUACCUGCACAAGAUUUCAAUAUAUACAACACAACAAAGUUUCGUUACAUUCUCCGGUGGGCAAAAACUGUUAAAAUCAUUCACUCAGUACAUGCUAUGCAUUCCCCCGUGAAAGAAGCAUGAUUUGAUAAAAAGUCAACAAGUAGCAAAUCAACUAACUGGGUGGCAAAGUCUGCUCAGGGGACAAACUAACAAUUUUGUGAAAAAUCAGAGGUAGGUAUGACAACAAUAGGAAACCUUGGUUAUUUAAAAAAAUGAAAGGCUGCAUUUCUUUUGAUCCUGGAGAUAUAGAUAUGAUUUACUUUAAAAUGAUCUAAAAGGCUAAAACCACCUUGGUGGAGUUCUUCCUCUGGGCGGGCUCCUGUAUCGUCUUGGGGGAGAUCUGUAAUGGUAGCUUCUGUAAUUUGAGUACCUAUGUGAAAAUAAAAAAAUUAAACACUUCAAUUAUUGAAAAAAAAAGAAGAAAGUGUAAAUGUUAAAUCAGCACUUCCAAAAUUACCUAUCACGAUCACUUCUUCCACCAAAACGAUAAGAUCUAACAGGAGAACGUUCCGGAGAGGGGGUUCUGUAUCGCCUUGCAUAUGAGUACCGCUGGCUAAACCCUCGACCUCUUCUUAUGCGUUUUGGGGACCCAUCUGGAGAACCACUUCUUGACAAGCUCCUGCCACGGUUGACAGGUGGUGAUACCGCCCUGCGAACAGGGCUUCCUGGACUUCUGCUAUUGCUCCUCCGAGAUCGGGGUCUCACCGGGCUACGGCUCACGCUUCUCCUGAAGGAUCUUACAGGGCUUCUGCUGAGGCUUCUCCGCACAGCAUCCCUCACAGGGCUUCUGCUUAUGCUUCUCCUGGAAGACCUUACAGGGCUCCUGCUAACACUUCUCCGUUGCGGAGAUCUUGCUGAACUUUUACUGAUGCUUCUUCUUUUAUCCCUAGGGAGAGGAGGGCUUUUGCUCACGCUUCUCCGCACAGGAGACCUUUCUGGGCUUCUACUAGGACUCCUGCUAAUGCUUCUUGUGUGAGCUUGAACAGGGCUUCUGCUUGUGCUUCUGCGAACUUCAGCAAUUGGGCUUCUGCUGACACUUCUAGCUGGGCUCCUGCUAAUGCUUCUUUUCCGAGACGGGCUCCUGCUAAUGCUUCUCCCAGAUGGGCUCCUGCUGCGGCUGAUACUUUUGGGCGGGAGAGGGCUUCUGCUAAGGCUUUGACGAUAGGGACUCUUUACGGGGCUCGCACUAGGGCUUUUGCCGGCAUUGUUCCUCGGGCUGAUACUCAUGCUCUUGCUCAUUGAGUGGUUAGCACUCAAGCUUUGGCUCCUGCUCAUCAAUGUCAGAUAAAACACUGGUUCUCGAAGUGGAACGUGCAGUAAGCACAAAGAAAUGACUUUUGGGGUAUGAGAAGUAUAGAAAACCUAGAUUUGCUCCGAUUGCCAUCUAUAGCAGUUAAGCUGCCAGCAUUUUUGACAGACUUUGUUUCGGCCAUGCCAUUGCUCCGAAGCUCCCCAUUUUCAAAUGGGGAUCUAUCAUCUUCUUCUCUGGUGGGAUUCUCGAUCGUAUCACCCUUCUUUCUAUUAGCAAUACCUUUAGCCGUGUCCAAGAAGAGCUGAUUGUCAGCUGAAAAGUACAUAGUACAAAAGGAUGACACAUAAAUAACACAUAUCAAGAAUAAACACAAAGUCACAAUUCUUUCUCACCAAUCUUAUAAUUUCUAAAUGAAAGCACAUACCAGACACCUGAGAAGAGAUCUUGGACUUCUGUUUUUGUUUCUUAUCUCCAUCGUCCUCAGCACUACUAGCACCCGAUUCUGUUUCACUGACAUUAGCUGACGUCCUGGCACCAGUAAAAGAGAUGCUAAUAACAUCACAUCCAGAAAGAGAGAUAUAGCUACUAACAAAGUUUACUAUUAAAAUUAUACACAGAAUAUUGAUGAGACAGUAUAAUGGACUUGGAAGAACAUUGGAUAACAACCUCUUUGGUUUGGGCUUUAAUUUCCUGUCAUGCUUCCUGCGUCUCUUAUCUCGCCGCCUAUCCCUCUUUCUUUUUCCAUGCUUAUGUUUGUCUCGCUUGGAAUAUUUCUUUCGCUUCCUAUGCCGGUCAUCACUCGAAGUACUGACAUCAGACGAAGCAGUUGAAUAGGAAUCAGAAUCGCUUUCAGACUCUGAUGAUUCAGUUUCUGUCUCAGAUGAGCUUUCCGAUUCUGAUGAAUAAUAUCUUCUUCGUUUUUUCUUCUUCCUUCCUUUAGAAGGUCUACUGCGCCGUCCCUUUCGUUUCCCAUCAUAGCCUUCAUUGCCUGAAAAAUCCUUUGAUGACUUUGAUUUAGCAGCUUUCUUUUUAUCUACAAAAGAAGAGAAGAUUUAUUAACCAUUUUGAAAAGCAAAUUUCACGUGUCUAUCCCACAAGGCAAAAAAGCUCUACGCUAUGCUAUGUGUACAAAGCAUCAUGGAAUAUCACAUUUCGAGAAAGAAACAAUAUAUGACCAUUCUCUGUUGCAAGAGUGCUCUGAUCUUUGCUCUCUUUAAGUUCUCCACAAUGCACAAUUUUCACAGGAACAACAGGUCUGCUACCCUCAACUUCAACAUGCUCUAUUUUCUUCAGAGUUUCAUUUCCGAGAAUAAGCUUCCCAAAAACAACAUGUUUCCUGCACGAAGGAUCAAAUCUUUAUUUCAUAAGAAAAGGCCAGGCAAAACCACAAAUAUUUGAAACAAAGCAAUAAAAUAAGCAACUAAGCUGAAAGCAUUUCUAGUUUACAUCCUAUAAAGCCCGUAGAAGUUUUAUCUGAACAUCUUACAUAUGUCCAGGACCCCCCAAAAAAGAUCUUUACUGCAUAUAAAGAAUCAAAUACAUCCUGUGCUGCUAUUCAGUCAAGACGUGUACAUCUACUAUAUAAAAAACAAGAAUGCAAUAUAGUAUUAAUAAGAUGAAACUAACCCAUCAAGAUGAGGUGCAGACUUAAAAGUAAUAAAGAACUGGGAGCCAUUAGCGUCACGACCAGCAUUAGCCAUAGAUAAGACACCAGCGCCAUCAUGACGGAGCACAAAGUUCUCAUCUGAAACAUUGGAUAUUAACUUUCAUCAGCAGGAAAACAGACACAAUAAGUGAAUUAUGAGCUUACACCAGAAUUAUCAUGUAUCUCAUACAUUUAAUAUAAGAGGACGUGAUAGUACACUAGAAAAUUUCCUUGUCCAAGCAUAUAUUUUGAAAGUCCUGCUAUGUUUGCUGGGAAAUAGCUAUCAUAGUUAGAAGCCUUAAGUGGAAGCUCUACUGUUGCAUGCAGGAAAAACAGUAAGGCCUAUCCAGAUUACAACAAAUUAUCCACCUGGAACUUUGUCAGUUUAAGUAAUACUAAAUUCUACAAAGAACAAUUAAAAGCAAAGGAAAGUGCUGAUUUUGUGCGAAAUAUGUGAGAAGGAACCUUAAACAUUCAAGACAAAACAAAGUUUCAGGUAAAUGAAGCAACUUUUUUAGCCACAGAUCACAAGAAUCAAGAAAUUCAUACUUCUGACAUCUUGAGAAAUGUUGGUAUUCAGUCACUUAGCAUUAAUUUCUAGGUUCUUUCAUUGAGAAAAGGGAGGUACAAGGUGAAAUUCUCAAAAAUACUUGCUGAAUUACUUAUUUGUAAAAAUCAAGCUAUAGCACAUAAGAAACCCAUUGUGACAACAAAGGGAAGAUUAAGAAGCGCAACAGAAUUUAGUUGUAUAAUUUAUCAGCAUAUGCUACAAUUAUGUACCUUCCAUGCAUUUCCCACAAACGAGAGCAGAUGUACUUGACGAUGAACGUAAUGUAUGAAAUAAACAAAAAUGUUUCAUGAGCACAGCAAGGACAAAAACAUUACAUAGCACAAAUCCCAGCAAGACUAGUUUUGCAAUAAACCCAUGCCAGAAUUCUGAACUGAUGAAUAGAAAACCAACGAACAUACAUCUCUAUCUACCACACUGUAUGGAGUUUCUAAGUAUAAUUACCUGCAAAUUUCCCACCAUAUAUGCUCUCCCCACCUGUUCCUGAAAAAUCAUGAGGACAUGAAAACUUGAGAACAAUCGAAUACAGCACUAAAACAAUAGUCUGAUUUACAGAGUACUUUUUCUUGUAUUGUUAUCUUAUAUGAGACUCUGCAAUAAUGUAGAAACAUUCAUCACACACAACUAGUCAGCCGGCUGAGGACAAAUUGGAGGGGGGAAGGUAAAUUACCCUUAAAUAGGCCAAACUUUUAUAAGUUCCUGAAAAUCAUUAGGACAUGAAAACUUGAGAACAGUCGAAUACAGCACUAAAACAAUAGUCCAACUUACAGAGUACUUUUUCAUUUCUUAUUAUCUUAUAUGAGACUCUGCAAUCGUGUAGAACUACUCACCACACAACCAGUUGGAUGGCUGAGGACAAAAGUGGAAGGGGGGAAGUAAACUACCCUUAAAUAGGCCAAACUUUUACAUGUUCAAGCACAAUGCGCUACUAUGACUCCCUUAACUAUGAUGAUAUUUAUCAGGAUUCUACUGGGUAAAAUAUUUAUUUUUAGUAGCACUGACCACCAAGCUGCAACUACUCCCACAAGUCAUGCUACCUAAAAGUACAGGUUUGCCAAUAGUAAAACAACAUAAAAAAGGAGAAGGCUGAUUGAAAUAUACGCUGGCGAUAACUUAUUUCUCAACAUUAUAAUAAAUGGGAAAAUAAGGCAAUAGGGAAAACAAAACGGUAUAAGGAGGAUCAGAGGAUCAAGCCAGAAAGCUUACCAUCACGUUUAGAAAAAUCACCUCCCUGCCAAAAAAAAACACAAAGUAUUAAGCAUAUGACAAAGAUAAAACACUCCAUAAUAUUAUUUAAAUGACGGAGUUCACAAAAAUUAUAAGGGUAUACAGCAUUACAAAAUACAACCUUAAAUACUACAUGACAAGAAAAGCAGUUGAGACCAUUUGCCCUGUAUCCUACAGCAUAGAAAAGGAGAAGGACAAAAGGCAUCACAGCUAACUAAUUUUGAUGGCAAAAUAUGUUGCACAGACUGAUAUUGUUAACCCUUAAUAACCAUAUUUCCAAGAAGGGUGUUAUUUUAAGAAAGAAAAAGGAUAGAAAUAACAUACUUGUGCCAUAAAGCCUUUUAUAACACGGUGGAAGAUGGAUCCCUUGUAGUGUAACGGCUUUCCAGUUGUAGAUCCAACUCCCGUCUCACCUACAAAUACAUUAAAAUCAGCAGAAAUAGUAAAGCGCAAGAAGCCAGCUGACAUAUUUGCAUAUAUUACAAGAAUGUAAGUAAAGAAAGUUAAAAAGUAAGGAUCUCAUACCUAGCAAUCUAGAUUUCAACUUCAUUUAUUUCUACAUCAUCUAAAAUACAACUCUAGACGGCCGAUAGCCGGGUAAAAGGUAGUGUUUCAUUUCCAACUAAAUGCCAUACACAUUGAACUAACGUAUGCCUUUUGGGUUAACUAGCAGACACAUUAUGAAGUGAUGUAGAAGAAAAGCCCAGUGAUCACAUGAAAGGUGAAUAAUUGUGAGAUUCCCCUGGUGGGGAAAACAUUGAAACAUGAGCAGAAUAUUCAUAGAUUCCAUAAACUUCUCCUAGAAUUCUUGUGGGGAAACAAAUGUAUAUUAAGGGUUCAAAUGGAAAAGAAAAGUUAGGGCACUUGUUAGAAUUGUUAAAGGCAUAAGAAAUGCUCCAGCUUAUAUUCAGUUCUGAAUACCUAGUACAAAUUUAAAAAUGCUUAUAAAUUUAUUCAAAACUACACUUUUAUAACAAUUGGUACCAACACCUUUUCUUUUCAUUUUUCACUUUCACGUAGCUUCUAAGCGAGCAUUUAGACCAAGUUAUCAAAACCAGUAGUAACAUCUACAAAAUAGUCAUUUAAGUGCAACCAAGAUCUUCAUCAAUUUCUAAUUGGCACAAGUCAUACUAUUCAAUGUAAACCUACAGACGAAGUUACCUUUGCAAUCGUUUUAUAAGGAUCCAACACAGAAUUACACAUUGGUUAAAAAAAGGGUUACCUGAGUAUCAUGUAGCUGUCAUUGUAUUCAAGAUGCUAACUACAAUCUAAUGCAACUAAAUGAGCAAUUGAUCCAAUGCUAACCUAAGUUUCGAAAAUGCAACUAGAAACAGAGCAGAGCAGCGCUAAAUCACAAAAAGUAAUAAUGAAAAUAUGGCAGAAGCUGCAACAAACUUUGUAAUAGAAAACUUCAAGAAAUCUCUUCUUCCUCUAAACACAGUUUCAGCAAUAAUCCCAAUGAAGCAACUAGAUACCAAAAAGCAAGUCGCAUUUAUAACCUUUAUUUAAAGCAAGUAAGAUGGUGACAACUUAUGAAAAAUCAUUCUAGUUUCUGAAACACCAAAUAAAUUUCUUACUGCUGUACACCAAAAAAGACAUUCUAUACCAAGUUAUGACUAAAUAGAGAAAUGAACUGCAGCAUGUUUCAUAUGGUCAAGUACAUGGUUGGAGGUUCAAAUGUAGAUAUCUUAACAUCAAUCAAGUAACAAAUGACGCAACAAUAGAUAAAAUGCUGAACAGAAAAAGCAAGCCAUUCUCGCAUUGCAAGCAUAAUGCCCAUGCCAGAAGUUUAUUUCUUCUCUCAAACAAGUAAUAUGGAGAAGGUCAUUACCUGUGCAAAGUGCUCGAAAGUUUUCAGCAGUCUUGGGGACAAUGUCAGCAAAGAGCUGAAAGCACAAUAAAGCUUUCAGUGAACAGUGUUGAAUUCAUUAUAUGUAGGCAAGAGAAGAUAAGCACAGAAGCACAUAAUGCAAUUAAGAGUGUUAAUGAAGAACAGAAUGCCCGCCAUGCUAAAUCUCAAUGACUAUUAGAAAAGACUUUUGAGUAAUUGGACAGAGAAAGAUGCCCAUAAGAUUAAAAAGACACAAAAUCACCUGAAAGACCAUUCUUUCAGCAGUUCCACCAUUUAUAGAUACAUCAAGAAAAACAAUAGGAUUAUGUUGGGCCAUCUUUCUGCGUUAAAUUCCAGGACACCAGCAGAACCAAGCUGGAUACACAAAAAAGGAGAAAUACAGUUAAGAGUUAGUAAAAAGGCCUUGGGGGUAAGUGCAUGCGUGCGUGCGCGCGCACGAGAGAGAGAGAGAGAGAGAGAGAGAGAGAGAGAGCUUCGAAUACCCUCUGCUUUAUUAUGCUGUUCGCACUUUAAAUGAAAGUAUGCAUGCAACAAGCAUAUAAAAUAAUAUUAUAACUAAGGAACUAGAAACCACGAAGAAUUCUGUCACAAAGUUUGACAAUCAACAAAAAUUAUACUUGUUUCCUUGAGGUAAAUCAUUUUGCAACUACUCAUUUGCAAGACUCUACAUCUUCCUUUGAUUGCGAAUAAUGAUCUAGAAAUGAAACACGAAAGAACACUCAUUAUGUCCAAGAUUAUAUAUAAAAGUAACAGCACUGGAAGAAAUAAGUCCCCAGGAAGAUGAUGUAAAUUAGCACAUACUGUGUUCCAGAAGACCUAUCAAACCUUUCUAAAAUUGGAAGAGAAACAGAAAAAUAACAUUUCCUUCACGAUAUUAUACAUCAGCAAAAUAUUCCCCGAAUCACCAUACAAAUUCAGAUGAACUAUAGAUAUAAAAAAUAGCAGAAAAAAAAUGUAAAAUUUCUAUUCUUUUCUAGCAGAUAAACUGGAAGAACCGAAACCUAAAACCCUACUAGAUCUCUCCAAAACCCUACUAAAGAGGUAUCACCGAAUCCAGUCCUAGAAAACCCUAACAUAAGAAAUCGCCCAGACACAAUAGCUACAAACAAAGGCGACAAAUCGAUCGCACUACAGAUCAACUAGGUAAACGGAAAGGUAACUCAGAUGAGAUGAGAUGAGAUGAGAUCCAGUUAAAAAAAUAACAAAAAGAAGGAAACCUUUGCAAUCACGCAUUAGAUCGGUGAAUAAACGAGUUAGAUUUACACAUAGAUUACACAGAAAUGGAUGAAUAAUUCAAUCGGGAAAAAAAAAUAGCGGAGGAGAGGCGAACCCUAAGAGUCCGAGAGCAGCUGCGGCCACAUAACGAAGAGAUGAGAAAGAGAAAACGACGCAACACGAGGAAACAAAACCUAGACCCCCCCCCCGCCCGACCCCUUGCUUUCGUUUCACUGAGCACGUGAGAUUACCGAUAUGCCCCUGCUAUCGGAGGAUAUUUGUAGAGAUGCCCCUUUGGCUUCGGCCGGGGGACACGUGCAGACGUGCCAGAGUGUCCUGCGAUGGAGACCGGAGACUGGAGACUGGAGAGAACCCGAGCUUCGAGACCCAUCUGCGGCCUGUGGCCUGUGGCCUGUGGCCCGUGGGGCGAGGAGUCACGUGAUACUCACGUGAUCAGGCAAAUUGGCUACUCCUAAGGCAGUGGGCCCAUGGAAACAAAUGGAGGAUAAUUUGUAGAGAUGGCCCAUUAUCUAACUGUGAGGCAUAGCAACGUGGGCUUGUUGUGGGCUAAAAUAGUUUGGCCCUUUGUUAGUCAGAGAUUGUUUUACAAAAAGUAUAAAUAAAUAAAUAAAUAAAUCACGAGCCUACAAACGGCUGUUGUGAUGCCACGCGUGCGCGGAAAACAGUACCAACAGACCACCGCGCUUGACCUGCACACAGGGAACCGAGAAAGUGACGUGGCCACUAAUCAACCCCCCGUUACCGUUGCCAUGCUCUUUCAAAUACCGGCCGUCCGAUACCCAUCAACCCCCUCACCACCUUCGUCUUCGUCUUCGUGUUCGUCUCCGUCCCCUCGAAACCCUCCACGGCGAUCUCCACGCUCUCGGAUGGAGUCGAACGCGAUGGUGUGGUUUCGGAAGGGUCUGCGGAUCCACGACAACCCGGCGCUGGACCACGCGCGGCGCGGCGGCUGCGCCCGCCUCUUCCCGGUCUUCGUGCUCGACCCGCGCUAUCUCGAACCGGACCCGACUGCCUUCUCGCCCGGGUCCGCCCGGUCCGGCCUGAACCGGAUCCGGUUCCUCCUCGACAGCCUCGCCGACCUCGACUCCGCCCUCCGCAGCCUCGGCUCCCGCCUCCUCCUCCUCCGCGGCGAACCCGCCCCUCUCAUUUGCCGCGUCUUAAAGGACGUAAGCGUCCUCCUCUUUCUCUUUCCACUUUAAUUUCUAUACAAUUGAAGCUAGGGCUUGUGAUCGGGAUCCCCUUGUUUAUUGUACCUAUGUUGUAGUGGAAUAUCGGGAAGCUUUGCUUUGAAUUUGACACGGAGCCGUACUCUCUAGCACGCGAUAAGCAAGUUUCGGUGAGUUGAAUCGUCUGAUAUGAGUGGAAACUGUGAAAUUUCCGAAAUAGAAAGAUCUAACUUGAGAAUUUUGGAUUGGUUUUUUCUAGGAUUUUGCCUCUGCUUCAGGAAUCCAGGUGUUUUCUCCCGUUAGCCACACCCUCUUCAACCCCGCAGAUAUCAUAGAAAAGGUAUAUUCGUAAGUUUUUUUUGAGGAUUCUUUUUUAGAAUAUAUAAUACCGUUUUCCCCAGGUUUUACCAAAGUUGCAUAGCAUUGGUCCCUGCCUUUCAAUUUUUGUUAUCGAGUUACUAACAAGUUGUAGUUGUUUCAGUGAAGUUCAUUUUGUCAAAAAGUUGGUUAAUUCAGAUGGAAUUUGCCACCAAUUCCCGUCUGAGCUAUUGGGGUUUUGAUGGAAAGGACUUCCAGGUGAAACAACUGAUAGCCAUUAAGGACCAAACUCUAGAAGUUAAAUGGUUGGGUUAAAAGGGAGAAUUUUGUUAAAUUUAGGGGCGAUGAUAAACAAUUUACUCCUUUCAUGUUAAAUUAGUAUUUACUAUUUUUUGGAUGGAUAAUGACAGUUUAGUUUUUGUUUAAAAUUCUUGUAUGCACUCUCAAUUCAAAGAAUGGGGGGCGAGCGCCUUUGACGUAUCAAUCAUUUGUAGCACUUGCCGGGAAGCCCCCAGAGCCGCUAUCUGUGACGUAUCAUGAGCUUCCUCCUGUAGGAGAUACUGGGGAAUAUCAAUUGCUAAGCGUUCCGAAAAUUGAGGAACUUGGCUAUGGAGAUAUUAGUCAGGUUUGUGGUUCUUAACAUCAGCGUAGGGAGAGUAAGUGAAUCAUUUUGAUGCCUUGUCCUUGAUGACGUUUACUUACUGCUCUAGGAAGAGUUUUCUCCCUUCCGAGGGGGUGAGUCAGAAGCUCUGAGGAGAUUGAAGGAAUCGCUUAAGGAUAAGGUAUAUUAUCUCUCCUUGAUCACUUAGCUCUUACUCUGUCCUUUUACUUUGAUAUUAAUUUCCUCCAUACUAUACACUUGUUUUCCCCCUCACAUCUACGAAGAAUUGACUCUCUGUCCAAAGGUUGUUUUACGUGAACCUUUUGGAGGAUUUAGAGAUAUUGUUGUUAGCAUACUUUUGGAUCUUGCAGGAGUGGGUAGCAAAAUUUGAGAAGCCGAAAGGUGACCCCUCCGCUUUCCUAAAGCCAGCAACCACUCUCUUAUCACCAUAUCUGAAAGUGAGUCUUAUAGGUAGUAAUAUAUAUUUUAAGUUAUACCUCUCUAUCUUCUUUAAUUCUUUGCUGAAUGGUUCAAGAAGGUCGUUAUGUUCUUAUUGUGCAGUUUGGUUGUCUUUCUUCGAGAUACUUUUACCAAUGCCUUCAUGAUAUCUACAAGAGUGUUGGAAAGCAUACAUCGCCUCCGGUUUCGCUGGCUGGGCAGGUCUGUUCUGCAUCAGCUGGAAAAAUUAUUAUAUCUAUAAUUGAUAGUAUUAUCUGAUAUUUGCUCUCUUUUUUUUCUGACUAGUUACUGUGGCGAGACUUCUUCUAUACGGUGGCCUUUGGAACUCCUAAUUUUGACUGUAUGAGAGGCAACAAAAUCUGCAAGCAGGUAAGCAUGGUAGUUUGCACCUUUAUCAUCAGCCUAGUUUUCGUCAUCGCAAAAGCCAAAGUAUGCUUAGAUUUUGAUGCCUCCCAGGCCUCCUUUGUGGAUCGCUUAACUUUGUCAAGAUAGAACCUGGAUCUGAAUUACAUUGCUACUUCACUUUGUAGCAGACCAUGACCUGGAUGGCCUGAUUCGUUUUGAUCCCUUUCAUGAUCUUUCAAACCAUUCUACCUGUCUGGCAAAGUUGCCAAUUUUCCUGCAUCUUUUUUAUACUUUCAACUUGAAUUAUCAAGGAUAAUUAUGAGAUUGCACUUUUUUUCACAUAAACUUUUCAUUUUCACAAUAGAAAUUUUGCAUUUUAUUGUAUAGGUUCCUUGGAGGGAUGAUGAAGAAUUGCUUGUAGCUUGGAGAGAAGGUCAGACAGGAUAUCCUUGGAUUGAUGCUAUAAUGAUCCAGGUUGGUCAAAAAGUCCCAUAUAAUGCAUGGAUAGAACAGUUUGUCUCUGUCCGUUUUCUGUAUAUUGAAGUUUUCACAUAUCAGCCAGAUGAUCUGAAGCUUGCUCAUGUUGUCAACAAUAGCUGAAGAAGUGGGGAUGGGUUCACCAUCUAGCACGGCAUUCCGUUGCAUGUUUCCUGACACGUGGCGAUCUGGUAAGAUCUUUUAAAUAAUUAUGUCUUAUAUUGUGAAAUUUUCUUUUUUUGAAGAUGUGAAAUUUUAUUUUAUGUUAUAACUAUAUAAGUUGUUGCAUGUGUAUUGGAAAAUGAAUUUUUUGGUGUCAACCAAAUUACCUGGAUGCUUUGCCUAGGACUUUUAGGGGUUUGCCAUUUACUUCGAUCAAUUUGACAACCUUCUCUCUCACAUUUUGAAUUAUGUAGUGGGUAGUUUAGUCGCCAAGAUCAAAUUUUCAAGCUUUAUUUUUAUAUCUGUGCCGCCUAAGUGCCUAGACAUUUUGCCUAGGAGUAAAAGGUUGCCGCUUUGAAUCGUUCUAGAGAUUUGGCAAUCUUCUCACCCUUUUAACUACUGAGCUGGCAAAAUUCAGUUAUGGAUUUAAAGUAUCAGACUUCAAAUAUUUAUCACAAUAUGUAAUAUUUUGUUUUGUGUACAAAUUUGUCUGCUUUGGCCUCAAGUAAUUUAUUUUUUACAUGUAGUUUAUCCACUGGGAGAAGGGACGUGAUGUCUUCGAAAGACUACUGAUAGAUUCUGACUGGGCCAUAAACAAUGGUAAUUGGUUAUGGCUCUCCUGUUCAUCCUUUUUCUAUCAGGUCUGCAAGAAAUCGUUCUUACUUAGUCACAAAUAUCUUUUAAUCUGUAUUUUCAAGCAGAACGAUUGCUUAUGUUGAUUAAUCUUGCUUAUCCUCUAAAACAGUAUUAUCGAAUUUAUUCUCCAAUCUCUUUUGGGAAGAAGUACGAUCCAAACGGAAACUACAUAAGACAUUUUCUCCCGGUGUUGAAAGGUGCUUAAACAUGAUUUAGAUUUAUCUUCUAAUACAGUUGAACCUAUCGUUUACAUCAAAUUUCCGCAUUAUUUCAAGAGGUUUCAAAUGACUAUUUUUUUCAGAUAUGCCUAACGAAUAUAUAUACGAACCUUGGACUGCCCCACUAAGUGUUCAGAAGAAAGCAAGGUGCAUUAUUGGGAAGGAUUAUCCAAAGCCAGGUAAGCUUUUUGUUGAUUCUUUUUUUAAAAUUAUUAGAUUUUUGUUUCCCAGCUGUUUUAAACAGCUUUCAAAAUCAAACACAAUAGUUCAUGAGCAUGGUUGUUCAAAAAUGGUCCUAGCUAUAUAACAUUUCUUUAUGAUUCGCCAUCCUUUGUUCUUCUUUUGUAAGGAUAUUCUUGUUGAAUCCCUGAAUUAAUUAUUAAGAACUUUCUAAAUGUUAUAGUGGUUGAUCACGAUAUCGCUAGCAAGGAAUGCAGGAAGAAGAUGGCAGAAGCUUAUGCAUCAAAUCAUUCAGGUGAGAAUGUGCCGAGUGGGAGGUCCUCAAAUGUCUUGCGAAGGAAACUGCAAAAUGAGAAUCGAGAGGGUUCUCCACCAACGAAUUCUAAACAAAGGAAAAAACACAGUUUGUUAUGAAGCGGCGAAAGGACUGCAGUCAUACUCUUUUACGCACUAUUCACUGAUAACAAGCAAUUUGUAGUUGUUACUAAUUCGAGCGCAGAAAAAGGUGGCUAUGUUUGAUCGACCUGAUGAGUAGCUUUUACUGUGUGUAGUGUCUGCUUGUAUUUGUAGGAUUCCUGCAAGAUUCAAUUUGAGAUGAAGCUUGAUAGAUUUUGGUAAUUAGUACCAGUUAACACAAACAGCAAUGAAGAAUAUUUCUCUUAAACUUAAACAAACACCGCCAACCGGGCGGAGAUUGAUGUAUUGCAAAAUCCCAAAGUUCAGUGACAUCUCCACCAGAAUCCAACUUUCCUUCUUGCUUAUUACAGUCGAUUUUCGAAAUCUCUCAAAUAAAGGCUUUUAUAAGCUGGAAUAUAAUUAUAUUCUUUCAACAUCUCUCAAUCUCCUGAUGUUUCCCUAACAGCCUAUCGUAUCGGAGUGUUGGCCAAUGAGUGGGCCGAGUUCCGCAUUGCUGGAUGUGGCUAAGUCUUGGUUUAGACCUGGUCACGACUGUUUUUCGCCUUUGUUUUUCUUAGCCUUUUUCGUGAACCUUUCUCUUUUUGCUUUUCCGCCUGUCUGAGGCCCUAGCUGUCUCACCUUAUGUAGCUAAAUUUAUUUGCCUAAUGAAUGAAGCAGGUAGCGUGCUACCCCUUUCUCGAAAAAAAAAAAAAAAAUCUCUCAAUCUCCUUUGUCUAGUUUUGAAGGGAGUUUACUGUAUCACAUCUACAUUACAUCAACAGUAACAAGUUAAUCAUAUCUCUUUAUUUGAUAAAAAAAAGUACGACAAAAAAUUUUUCUUUCUAUUAAUAAGUGAUGGGAUGUAUCAAACGAAGGUGGACAAUUCUAUUGAUUGAAAACGUCACAUUAGCAAUAUAUUUGGGUUACUCUAAAUAUUUUUACUAGUGUCGUUUUGGUAAGUGCUUUGCUAUUUGAGCUUGUUCUAAAAAUCAAUGAUUGCAGAGGCUUUCAACUGGGCGAAUCCAGCCCAUAAGAUAAUUGUGAAUUUAAAACAAAUAUAUUAUGUAUUAAUGGACCCCUACAAACCAAAUCCUUAACGGCCGCUACCGAAUCUCCUGAUCCCAUACCUUUUCAUCAUGUGGUUUCCGUGACAUCUAAAUUACAUUCCAACGUGGCGCGUUACCAACUUAUCCCUUCCUUCUUUUCCUUGGAAAAAAAAAAAGAAAAAAUUAGAACGAAGUAUAUUUUAUAAAAUGAUUAAUUUAUACAGGUCAUUACAAAUAUAAUAAAUUAUAAAUAUAUUUUUAUAAAGUUUAACUUUUAUAUAUUAUUCUUAAGAAAGUCCUAAUAUUUUCAAAUAUGUCCGUAUUGUUAGGAUCAGUUUCAAAAAAUUAGUUAAUCAUAGAUAAAAUACUUAAUCCUAGUUAGUUAAUGAGGUGAAUUAAUCUUUUUACCUCUUUUUAAUUAAUAAUUAAAAUUUUUAAAAAAACAUAUUUAUAAUGGUAAAAUAGUUAUUUCACUUAUAAAAUAAAUAAUAUUUUAACGGUAACAAAUCAGAGUAAUAUAUAAAGCAUUAGAAUUUUGAAAGAAUAAUAUAUAAAAAUUAAAUUUUAUAGAAAUAUAUUUAUAAUUUACUAUAUUUAUACGGAUUUGUAGGAUAUUAACUCAUUUAAAAAAAAAAAAAACCAAGCGUCGGCAUACACCAUUGAACACGAGUCAUUCUCCGACUCGGUGAGUAAGCACUAAAACCGUCGCUCUCCUUUUCCGAAACGCCGACUCUAAUCAUAGCCGUUCGUUUCCUUUCCAUCGUCCCUAAUUCGAGUAGGAGGAGGAAAAGCUUCUAUCCAACGGUUGUGAUUGGCUGAUUUUCUACAUUCGAAUAUUUAUAAGAGGCCCUCCUGUACACUCCGAUUUCGUCGUAUUUUUUUUUCUCGUAAAAAAUUUGUUAAUCACUACUAGCGGCCGUGAUCGGAAGGAGAAAUAGAGGAGGGAGACUAAAGAAAUCGCGCGUUUGAUCUCUCGUUCUCGAUCGUCUUCUUCAUCGCUUGCGCAUCAAGAGGUGAGCAAUCUCUUAAUUUGCUUCACAUGUGGUGUUGUUUUGAUCUUUCAUUGAUCGGUAGUUAUGUUUUGUAAUUUGUUUGAGGCUUGGAAAAUCAUUAAUGGAGCUUCGUUUCCUUGAAUCGGCUAUUACUAGAGUCUCUUUCAUAAGAUCGCACGCAUCAUCAUUAGCAUUAUAUGUAUUAGUUUCGGGAUUUGGAAAAUCAUGUGGUAUAAUUUCGAUGUUCCAUGAGUGAUGUAUAUUUCGUUUAUAAUUUUCCGGUUUAUAGAGCACUAUUUCGCUCCCUUUUCAUGUUUUUUUUUUUUGUUUUUUCUGUUCUGUAGUUGUUACCUUUAAGAGCUUCAUACUAUUUUUUCUGUUUUUGAAAGUUGCUUCAUACUAGUAGGAUUUUGGAGUUUAGUUUAGCGUCCCAAUAACUGUCCUUUAAAAGUUUUUCAAUUUCCAAGCUGCUGAUAACUGGUGGAAAAUUUAUUGGAGAUUUUCUGUAACUGGAUUAAUUUCCUUUCCUUUUUGUUUUAGUAGUAUAGCGUCUCGUUUUGUUCAAUUUUCACGCUUGCAUUCUAUUUUGGAGAUUAUUAUGACUAACUGAAACUAUGAUCUGUUCUUGAUAUGAUGAAUCUUUCCUUUUAAAUAUUUUCCAAUUUUGUUUUUAUCUUUAUCUUUUUUUUUUUUUCUGAAAGCUUUUGUUUUUUAUCACUAUUGUUCAUUUUCGCUAUAUAAUCCUGGUGUUGAUUCUUCCUCUCUUUCCUUUUUUCUCUAGAAUAGUGACUGGCAUUCGCAACAAACCCUCAAUCAUGAGAUUCAAGAAAGGGAGCAAAAUUGAAGUACAAAGGAAGGUGGAGUCUCAUAUGGGUUCCUGGUGGCCUGCCCAGAUAAUAUCCGGUAAUGGGCGCCUCUAUCAUGUUAGAUACGAGUACGACCAAUGCUAUCGGGACAAGUGUACAGCUGUGGAGAGAGUGCCAAGGAAGGCAAUUCGACCCUCUCCUCCUCUAAUGGCGGAUCCGCUAGAUUUGGCGUCCGGUGACAUCCUUGAGGUCUUCGACAAUGGCUCGUGGAAACUCGCGGAGAUGACGAGGGUCGUCGAUGGGCAUCAUUAUUUUGUUCGACUUCUUGAUUGCUGCGAGGAGUUUGAAGCCCAAAGAUGCAACCUUCGACUACGGCAGCUUUGGCAUGAUGACCAAUGGAUUCUGAUUCCUAAGGUAACAUCACUGCUAUCUAUUCUCAUUUGCUUUCCGCAUACUGUGCGUGAAUGGUUCUUCUUUCCUAUUGUUUCAUUAUUUUCUGCAUAUAUCUUUCGCCUCUACCGGCUGCGUAACAUCUGUGGUGCAGCACCAUACCUGAUGCUGUCCAUCCAUCACAUAUUUUCAAUAGCAACCACAGAAAAGGAUGUUAAUUUUAAACAACGAAAAAGGCUGCAAUUCGCUGCAAGGUUGGGAUUGUAGUGUGUGAUGAGAUGGGGGGCAUUCAGGUAAGGGCAGUGCAUGGCUAACAUCGAGUGCUGGUGCAAGCAAUGAUUUUUCUUCUAGUAUUUGGGUUUUGAAUUGUUCUAUAAUUUGUAUCACGUGCCCUUGCAGACAUUUUGCGUUGCAAUUUUGUUUAUGAUUUCUAACAUAUAUAUAAAUAUAUUUUUUAAUUAAUGUAGGAUUGUGGAAAGCAAACUGGUAGAACAUUCAAAGGAGAAAAGUUUUCUCCAGGCAUGAAGAGAAAAUCACCGGUCCUAUCGCGUCCUGCCAAGUCAAUCGAUGGAGCUAUCGAAAAGCAGCGAGCAGUCAAGAGAAGAAGAUGUGAACAACUGGUGGCAGGACAUUCACCUCAUUUAUGGGAGAAGGUAGAUGCUGUUGCUUCCCCAUGCAUAAUGCAGGGUGACAAUAACAUGCAUUCUUCCUUAAACGACAGAACAACUGGCUUUUUUCAUAUGGCUGCAAGUAGGAGAAUUCCAGAACCUAGCUGUGCUGAGAUUACCUCAUCCUCUGUUGGUAGUUGUAGUGUCGGUGAUAGUUCCUAUCGCUAUCCUAUUGCUGAUCCAGUUCAGGACUUUCACGAUAAUUGGGAUGACGCUGAAUCUUCUUGUUGCCAUGGAAGAAAACAACCUAUUCCUUCAGAAAAACUGCUUACAACACAAACACGCUUGUUUGAGUUGUCUGCCUACCGUUCCACUUUGAUCGCGUUGUACGUUUCUGGACCCAUAAGUUGGGAACAGGAAGCAUUGAUGACGAAUCUCCGCAGUGUAUUAAACAUCUCUGAUGACCAACAUCGUUUGGAGCUGAGGAACUUAGCAACUUGUGCCUUCUGAAGUACCUUCUUGCUAGCCCAAAGCCAUCUCUAGGUUAAUCUUUUAUACAGUGGUAUAUGUCUCAAUGUUGUUUUAUUUGUUUCUUUCGCUGUAUAGUGGGAAACCACUUUUAGCUGCCUCUUCACAAGUUUACAUUUCUCUGUAUUUCGAUGAAAAGGGCAGAAUACUUGGAAAAGAAAAUUGUAUCAUAACUAAUUAAAAACAUUGAGAAAUAUUUUUUUUGAUGUAUAGUUGCUUUCAAUCAAUAUCUUCAGUUAUUAUUUUGGCUGUAUUGCAUAGUAAAGUUGAAUAUUAAAGCAUGACUGGGGCAACUCUGAUGCUUAGUUGAUGAUGUAUUUUAUUUGCACCCAAAAAUCUUAGUUGAUUUGUAAUACAGUAAUACUUGGUUGGGUUCCUAUAGUAUUCUGACAUUUCUGAUACAUGAAAUGGACAUUUGCAAAAGAGAAUUAAACUGCACAGAGUGCCUUAUUUAAAGAAUUUGACAAACUUCAAUGCCUAUGAGUACAGGAGUUGGAUAUUGAUUUCAUUGCAUAUAGUACGAUUCGCAAAUGCUUAGCGAUGUGAUAUUUCAAAUGCUUAGUGAUGUGCUAUUUCACCUUUUUGCCUAAUUACGCAUUUGAUGAACUGAUGGAAACUGAACCUUUAGAACUACUAUGUGGCCUGUUUAUCAUAAAUUGGGGCAUUUUGAGUGAAUUUUGGACAAUUUAUUGUUGUUCUUAUCAAACUUUAGCUGCUUUUGGAAAUUGAGUUGCAGCUAAGACUGAUGAUUGUCAUGUGUUUGCACUUUGAACAAUGUGGCAACCUUUGACCUUUCCAUCUGAUUCUUACAAACAACCCAGUGCAAGUUAAAUUAUUGGUACUUCCUUUUCCUUUAUUUCCUUCUGUUUCAGGCUUUUUAUAUGCCUGCAACGCUUGCAUAUUUGGAAAGAAGUUAACAGGGAAGUUGCAAGUGUUUUGAAAUUAAUAUAUUUGAAGACCUUUUUGCUGAAAUAAUAUCACACGCCAGAAUUUUCUACAUUUUCUUUUUGUAUAUUUGUUGUUCAUUAGAACCAUAUUAUCAUAGGUUGCUACUCUUUUUUCAUAUAAUAUGUAAGGAGGGAGGUUGAGAGAGAGGGAAUGAUAAGUUCUACAAUAAGUUCUAAUUGUAUUCAUGUUUUUUUUUUUUUUUUUUUGAGAAAGGGUAGCAUGUUACCGCAUCAUUCAUUUAGAAAAUAAACUUGGCUACAAGGUGGGCAGCUGGGCCUCCCAAAAAAAAAAGUUUCAUAAAAAAAGAUCAACACUAAUUAUUAUUGGAGCAGAAACGGGACCAUAGAUUCGUGAGAAUUCUAAUCUCAACCAACAAGGACCCCAACGAGAGCUUAGUAUUCGCAAAGAUUCUUCUAUUCCGCUCCAACCAAAGAGCACACCAAGUGGCAGUGAUAAUCACUAACUCUCUAUCCCCUGUAUACCUCCUUUGUAACAUAUCCCCUCCUAUAAUCCCUUAACCGAGGAAACGUUUGUUUGGUAGUAAACUUUUCAGCAAAGUUGUAGAACACGUACAUCGUAAAAAGAAGGGGUCCACCGUCUCCAUGUCCUCUCCCCUCCAACCCUAUCUUAUUUUUCAGGACUAACCAUAUAAAAAUCUUGACUUUGAGGGGGAUCGAAUUGUCCACAAACAGGUGAAGCUUUUGUCAAUUACACCACCAUUUCGUAUAAAAUUAUAGAUCGAUUUGACUGAAAAAAUUUCGGAACUAGCCCAUCUCCAUUGAUGAGACUCGGGAGAAUGACCCUUAAUAUCCCUUUUUGAAAGCUGCAAAUCAUGGAAUUUCAAGGAAGUGGAAUUCUAGAUUGUGCGUGUAAGAUGGAAUGUCUACGUAAUUACAGAGAUCAUCGCAGUUUCUUUUUUUUUUUUUUGCUUGCUGAUUUUUGUAAUCCCUUUCACCAGGGGAAGCUAAACUAGGUGAGUUGGUUGAUGUGCUUGCGAUUUUCUGCUAGCGUUUAGAGGGUUUUAAGUCUUCACACAUGUAUAAUGUACAACCGCAAUAUUGUGCAGGUAACUUAUGAUAUUCUCAUUUCUUUAUACAACAAUGUAGAUGCACUGAAUUGAAUAUUCUGCUUGGUGAAUUAGGGUUAACAUAGUUGAAGUGCUUUCUAUAACCAGAAGGCAAUUUCGAUCUUGAUUUUUCUUUUUGAGAGAGAGAAUGGUAGUAUGCUAUCCGCUUCAUUUAUUUUUUAGAUCAGUAAUGUGUGAAUCCGAAUCAAUAGGUUACUACGGUGGCCGAUUUCAAAUGUAAAGUAACUAUUUUCAACAUUUUGCAGGCACAAUAAUUGGACAUUCGCACAAAAAAAAUAGUGAGGUGAUAAUAUCUAAACAAUGGUUGAUUCUGAUUUAAGAAGCGUCCUCACAAUGUUGCUGCAGUUCAUUGCCUAAUCAAGUCAAUAUGUAUGUGCCGGUGUACCCACCCUGAAGCAUGAUUCCUCCAUGACGCAUGAUCCGUCCAGCGCACUCCGGCAGGACUAUAAUCUGACAGUAAAACUGAUUAAGGCCUCGCCCAGCUUAAGGAGCAGUUUGAAACGGUGUUAUGGGUUCACGCACGGGAGUUUACUACGCCAUGUUUGGAUGUUCAUGGAGAGUGCAGAAUCCAAGCCUGUAAAGAAAGUGAAUGAAAUAUUCUUGACGCAAGUGAUAAAGAGCUUGUUAGUUAGUAUCUGAGGUUAUAAGUUUGAAUCCUAGUUGAUUCACAUUUCUAACUAAGUUUAUUUUUAAAUGAAAUAAAACAAAAUGGGUAACAUGCUACCUAUCUCUCUCUCAAAAAAAAGAAAAGAAAUAUCUUUCAAGAGUUUGUAGAGUAGCUAGGAUUGACUCUGUAUACACAAGAGCUGGUCUAGGAAUGGUAAUUUAAUUCGGAUACUGUGUAAUAACCCGAUCUAAGCACAACUGAAUGAGAAAAAUACGACAAGGUACCCAAAAAAAUUAAAAUUUACACGACACUAACAAAAUCCGUAAGUUACACUUACACAGCAUAAUAAUACAAUUUGGCCCAAUUGAUAAAUUACUUCCAGCAGAAUUCAAGUCUUACAAUAAAUUAAUGUUUGGUAAACAAAACGUAACUCAUUUGAAUUAUGGAACACUUUAAGUUGGUUACCUAACAUUUCAAAAUUUUGAUGUUAAUUACUACCAACCUUUAAAUGUAUUUGAUUUGAUCUUAAAGUUUAAAUGCGUCCUUUAUCUCUACAUAUUUAAUUAAGAUACUUCAUGCAAUUCUCGUAAUUACAAACUUAUCAAAAUAAAUAAUAUGUUGAAAUUAUGAAGUUAAAGUGUCGUUGACCGAUUCAAAUCAAACAAAUUGGAAGACUGGCUCGUAAGAUUAAAAUUUUAAAAAAUUGGAUAACCGUUUCAAAAUGAUCUAUAGUUCAGUUAAGCUUUGUAUAUUUUUAUCUAAAUAUUUAAGUAAUUUUUAAAUAGAGAAAACUAUUCAGAGUUUCGCGCACAGACAAUAAAACAAAGGUGUGCACAAAACCUGGAAGCAGCUAUCUUUGCAUAACCGUCGGUCAGUCGACUGCCGGGCGCACAGCUUUAUGCUUGACGACCAGCAGGUUGCUGGGCCCCGACUUGACGUAGAACACGCGCGCUGCUCCUGUCCUCCACAGCUUCGGUGUUCACAUAAUUCACAUUUGUCCUCCACACUGCUCUUCGUUUUGUAUGUCUCCAACUUCCUCUAAUUUGUAACAAAGCGGACGUUUGGAUCUAAUAAUAGAUAAGAAAAAUUUUAGAUGGGUUUGUGAUUACGAUAUGAUGCUAGAUUAAUAUGUUAUUAUUAUUAUUAUUGAUGCGAUCCAUGAGAUGAAAAUGAGUGCGUAUUACCAAUUUGCGGGAAAGGACCACUGUAAAGCAUUGUGAUUGUAACUAAUCCACAUUUGCGUUUCUCAAAAAAAAUAAAAAAAAAAAAAAAUAUUUUUGCUGCAGCUUCUCUUAUAAUAUAAAUACCAGUUCGAAAACAGAAAAGAACUAUGAGGAGUUUUAAUUGAACACAAACACUUGUUAGUAAAGAAAUUAAGAAGACCACGCUUCAUUAAUAUUCUCUUGAGAUACUUAUACAACUAAAUUAAGAAGCACUUCUCAAUUCUUAAUUCUUUAUUGUAGAGAAGGUUACAACCAUAUACUCUAAAAAAUAGAAAACCAAUUUACAAAAUAUCAGAUUGUGUUCGGUGUAGUUGGGUUGUCCUCUUGAUCCUGAUUUGAUCUUAAUUUAAUAAAUUGGUUGAACUGGCUCAAUACGGUCUGCUUUGGUGCUUCAAUAGUUAGUAUUUAAAAAGAUUCCUAACUUUCUCAUUCUCGGUCAAUCAUACGAAUGGAGUUUUUUGACAUUUUCGUCCCUCCUGCAGAGUAGCUGGCAUAGGGACUGGGUAUUAAUUCCCAAUCAUUUCUCCUACGUGUUCUGGUGCUAGCUAAGAAACCUUAAUCUAAUCACCAAGUACAUCAUUAUCUAAAAUUAAUAAGUGAGAUGAUCUGCUUCCUUCAUAUAUAAAUGAAUGGAUGAAUAAUUGAAACAAGAUUGCCAACUUCUCAUUCGUACAUGCAUGAUUGAAAGUACUAAAUAUACUCCGCUUACCAAAUUUCUAAAUUGCCAUUGAGGAGAGGAUUGCGCGCUUGCUUAGGCAGCAAGCAUUCCUGAAAGCUAGUUACUAACAACCUUCUCCUAUUUGUUUAAUGCCUGACGCACACAUUUUUGCCAGCUAAGAUAUAUAUCUUUAACUAGCUAGCCAAGCUUAUUGUGUCGUUCGUCAUCUAUGAAUAAAACACAAAAAGGGUCUUAGCUAUGUACUUGAGCCAAAACAAGAAAACUUGCUUCAAAGCGGGUGUGCAUGUACUAAUAAGAGCUUAUCUGGCUUUAUACUGUUUGAAUAAAGCUACUUUUUAAUUCUCUCCUUCAUAUGUAGUUGAGAGGUUCAACAUCAGUUAAGGAGGGAGCUCAAUGAGCAACCUAAGCUUGUUUUCAAGAAAGAUGAUAUACUCAACCUCCUCCCGGUGAUGUUUAGUUGCUCUCUCUCUUUUAUAUAUAUAUAUAUAUAUAUAUAUAUAUAUAUAUAUAUAACUAAGCUGAAAUACUAUCAAUAGCACUAAGGUAUUAAUGCUAUUAGGUUUUCGUCAUUUGGAUGAAAAAAAUAUAUGGUUAGAAUGAUUGGGUUUUCUAGAGUUUAGUGGGUUGUUGAUUAAAUAGUAUAAUCUAAUGGGUGAAAAUAGUCCAAAGGUUAAAUCUAACAGCAGAAAACUCAGUAACACGAAACGUUUGGUGCUAUCAAUAGUAUCCCAAUCAGACUCAUAUAUAUAUAUAUAAUUGAGCUUCUAUGCUUUCAAAAUUAUCUAAGUUAUUGAUGCUUGUAGAUUUUUUACCAUUGGAUUAAUUAAAAGAUAUGCGGUUAGAAUGAUGUGGGCCCUCUAGGAUUGAGUGGGUGGUUGGUUGAAUAGUAUAAUCUAAUGGUUGAAAAUGAUAAAAAAAUAUAAAUCUAACGGUAAUAAAUUUACAAGCACCAAGUGCUUUGUGUUUUUAUAAGCACUAUAGCCGAACUCUAUAUAUAUAUAUAUAUAUAUAUCACCCAUUUUUUUGAUCAUAUAUUUGAAGCUCCGAAGUUACAUUUGCUGCCCUUCGUACUUUCUCUUGUAUAUGCCGCCUAUAUCUGAUACCAUUGUGCGUUGUACUUUACAUUAGUUAAAUGUUAAGCUACAAUGCUUAAUUAUAACUAAGAGGAGGAGGGGAAUCUAUGUGAAAAUAUAAACAAGCAUAAACUUUUACAUAGAGAAAGAGAAUAGUACAUACAAGUAAUUAAGCCAUGAAAAUUAAAGAAACAAAAUAUACAUUAAUACAUGGAAAAAGAAGAAGACUUUGAAGAAGAAUAUCAGAAAGGAGAGAGAAUUGGCUGGAGUAGUGUGUUUUGGGCAACUUAAAUAAUUUUGUUUACACAUCCAAAGAAUUAUAAAAAUUAUUAUUAUUAUUAUUAUACAUGGUCGGUGAACUGGGGUUAGCAUGCGCAUCCGCCGGAAUUCCGAUCCGUCGGUGGUGUACGUACGUAUUCGGUCAUUUGGGCAUGCAAAUAUAAUAAACCAGCUGCAGGGGGCCGGGCAUUUUGGUCACGAAAGGGCGCGGAAGAUCACGGGCGCGCCGUGCUGCGGGUAGAGCAGCAUGAGCACGGUGGGGGCGUGGACGUAGUUGGGGGAAGCGCGGAGCGAGAAGCGCUGCAGGAGAAUCGCGGCGGCCAGCUUCGCCUCCAGCAGGGCCAGGUUCUGCCCGAUGCACGUCCGCGCCCCCAGCCCGAACGGGAGGAAGGCCAUCGGGUGCCGGCCCGCGCGGGCCGCCCCGGACUCGAACCGCCCCGGCUCGAACCGCGCCGCGUCGGGGCCCCACAGGAGGGGGUCGUGGUGGACGGCCAUUAUCGGAAUCAGGAUCUCCGUGCCGCGCGGGAUGACGCGGCCUCCCAGCUCCACCUCGGAUUUCGCGCGCCGUAUCGUCGCCACCACCGGCGGGUACAGCCGCAGCGUCUCGUUUAAAAUCAUCCCUAGCUGUUGCGCCCCCAGAAACCGAAACAAUUUUCUUUUUUGUUAAAAAAAAAAAAAAAAAUUUUGAUUCGUGCACUGCAUGGGAUGAAUGAUAAAAACAUACCGUCUUGAGUUUGGGCAGUUGGUCCGGGGUGGGGACAUCACGUGAGCCGCACACGCGCAGGACCUCGGCGCGGGCGCGCUCCUGCCACUCCGGAUGCAUGGCGAGGAGCACCGUCGUCCACGUCAGCAGGUUGGACGUGGUCUGCUUCCCCGCGAAGAAGAACGUCUUGCACUCCUCCACGAUGUCGUGCACCGUGAUCGGCCUGGCUAGAGGGGGCGGCACCACACAGCCGCCGGUGUUGCCGCCCGCACCGAUCAUGAGGCCAAUCAGAUCCUUCGUGCAGUCACCUUCGUGGAGAUUUUGCUUCUCCGCGACGUCAAAGUCGUCUCUCCGGCGGUUGAUGAGCUUGACGAGAUUCUUCCUAAUCUCCCUGUCUAAUCUCCAGCAAAUCUUAUUUCUCUUCGUCGGUAAGAACCUGUUCAUUAAUUACAUAGACGUACAUGUAUAAUUAUUGCGCCUUUACAUAGGAUAGUAAUAAUAUAACGGUAACCGCAAAUUCCCUAGCUCAGUGAUGAUUUUCAAACUAUAUAUGAGCUUACUUAUAAUCAAGUCCUGUUGUUACAAUCUGUUGGUUUGGAUGAGUUGCAUAAUAAUAAAUUAAAAGGGCAACUCGAUCGUACAUCGCUGAUUUAAGAAGCAAUUGUGUAAUUUAUCCUAAUAAUAUAAUUAUUAACCAGGCGUGGUCGGUCUCAAUGUGCGAGUGAUGAGGACCUGUAGCCAGGGAUGAAGACCUUGCGGAAGGCCUCGGAAGCGAAGCCCAUCAGCUGGUUCUGCAAUCGAAACACGGCCUUGCCGUCGUCGUAGCUAGGGCCAAAUGCUGCGCGGGUGAUGGCGUCCUCAGCGACGACAUGAAACCACUCGGAAACAUCGAUCUCGACCUCACCGGAGGGAGACAUGUCCUCCGAUAGCUUCUCCGCCAUGUCCACCACCGUCUUACCAAUGAACGGUAUCAACAACUGCAUCAGAAACAAACAAAAGAAAAAAAGAAAAAAAUGAUAGUUAGCUACAACUUAAGUAAUUGCUAUUUUGGUUUAAAUAGGCAAUUAGUUAUAACAAAAUAAUAAUAAUAAAAUAAUUUAAUUUCCCUACCUUUUGUGGUAUGUUUUACUUGAUCCUGCUACAAUAUUUUCUGAAAAGUACUUGUAAUUAACUGAGAAACACUGUUAGUUAAUUAAAUUUUUUUUUUUUUAAGAUAAGUAGCACGCUACCCGUUUCGUUUAUUUCAUUUAGAAAUAAACUUAGCUGAAAAUGUGAAUCAGCUAGGAUUCGAACUUGAAACCUCAGGUAUCAACUAUCAAAUUUUUGUCACUUACUAUAGGGACAGUCAGUAAGUUAAUUAAUUAUUACCUUGAGAUUGUCGGGGUGGAAGGCGGGUGAGAGGACUCUGCGGUGGAGGGCCCACUUGGGCCCGUGGAGGUUGGUGAGGCCGUCGCCUUCGAGUUGCCGGACCAUGGGAUGGGCCUCGUACCGGUCGAAGUGGUCGGACCGCGACACAAAGAUCUCUCGUAUCAGGUCCGGGUCUGCUAUGGCCAGGCGCGGCGUGGGCCCGAACCAUAUCACAAAUGUCGAACCUGCCGAACCAAUUAGCCACGAAUCUCAUCAUCACAUGGCCAAUGCCGUGGCAAAUACAGGCAAUCAAUUCUGAGAAUCAAAAAUGCGCGCGCGCACUCGACAUGCAUUUGAAAUCACUAGGAAUUAAUAUUAAUUGUAAUGAAAUUACUGUUAAGAUCAAUAAAAGUAACUCCUAACCUGACCGAUUGUAGUUACUUAAAAUCAAAUCAAUGGGAAAGAAAAGGAAAAUCAGUGACCUGUUUUGAAAUGAGAUAUAGCUGAGGGGUCUAUACGUACGUAGGUUGCUGAUUAAAACAAUUGAGCAAUAAUGGAGGAUGUGAGAAAGAUAUAUGUGCCUAAAACUAACAGGGAAGCUUGCUAGACGAGGACAAGGAAAAGGAGAGAUAACAACAGCAAAUAACGGACUCUCUAGAGAUUGAUAGCUACGUGCAGGAGCAAACUUUAGUGAAAUUAGAGAGAGAGAGAGAGAGAGAGAGAGAGAGAGAGAGAGAGAGAGAAUAUGUAUUAAAGCGAUCUCAAGAGAAUUGAGUCCUUGUCUCUUUGUGAGUGAAUAAGGCCCAAAAAAAUUCUAAUUCGUCACAACAGCAGGCCUGGUAUAAUAGCUGUUCGUGUGGUACACGCAAAACAUGGGAUAUUUUAUCAAAACACGGGUUGGGUUGAACUUCGAAGCAUAUAUCAUUGAUGCUAUCUGAUGGUACGUAUCAAAGGCUGCAUCUUUUCAUAGAAGAAUAUAUAGUAAAGAAGAAAAUGGAAGCACAAAAGAGACAUUACAAAGAUAUCCCAUAAUUCCACUGCUAUAUAUAAUAUAAUAUAGAAUUGAGCUUUUAUGCUUUUAAAAGUAGUAAGUUAUUGGUAUUUGUAAAUUUUUGAUCAUUGAAUUAAGUGAUGUGCAGUUAGAAUAAUGUGGAAUCUUUAGGAUUGAACGGGUGAUUGAUUGAAUAGUAUGAUUUAAAGGGUGAAAAUAAUCAAAAAAAUAGAUCUAACGGUAAAUAAUUAAUAAGCACCGUAGCCGGACUCACAAUCUAUAUAUAUAUAGAAAGAGAGAGAGAGUCCGGUUGGUAUACCAUCGGUAGCACGGAGGACUUCGUGCUAUUAAGCUGUUUUCAAUGAUGCGACUUCCAAAUCGACAAUCGGCUCCGUUAGACUUGAUCUACACUAUUAAAAGUCUUUGAAAACUAAAUUUUAUAAUUUUUCAAUAUCAUUUACCUAUCAAACGAAUAGUUGAAAAAUAAACAGUUAAAAAUAAAAAUCUCAUAAAAAUGAUGAUAAAGAUUUAAAUUUAAGAUCGGAGAUACUGAUCUUACUUUAAAUAGUUCAAAAAAAAUUUUAUAAAAAUUUUAUCAGAUUUGAAUUAUUUUAUAUCGUUAAAUUCACAAGCGCAUCUCAUCUACCAUUAAAAUUGUUAAUUUUGAGAUCUUUUGAUCACUAGCCAAAGAAUGUCGAAAAAUUAUAAAAUUUAUUUUUCAAAUACUUUCAAUAGUAUAGAUCAAGUCCAGCGAAUUCAAUCGUUGAUUUGAAAACUGCAUAAUUGAAAACAACUUGGUAGCACGGAGGCCCCGUGCUACCUAUAGUAUACCAGCCUAGCGUGCGCUCUCUCUCUCUCUCUCUCUCUCUCUCCCUCUCUCUCUCUCUCUCUCUCUCUCUCUCUAUAUAUAUAUAUAUAUAUAUAUUUAUAUAUUUAUAUAUAUUAGAGAGGCUCAGAAGCUCCAAUUAGUAUAUAUGUUUGAAGAAAUCAGGGAUUUCAUGAAUAUUUCAUCUAUGUACCUUAAAUUAGUCAGGAAUAGAAAUUAAGUUGACCCUAGUUAGCUAGUCAGAAUAUAUACAGAUCAAUAGUAAAAGAUAAAUUGAAGCAAUCAUCAUCCCUAAACUAAUAAUCUGGAAAUUACGAGAACUCAUAUAUAGAUUCACUAAGUUAACAAUUAACUAACAAGUCACAAGGAGCACUCGAAUUAAUCUCUAUGUGAGAUCCAAAGUGAGACGAAGCGGAACGGCGAAAACAACCCCAAAAAAUAGCACUUUGUAAAGCCAAAGCACAACAAAACAAACGCAAAAACCGCACCCUCAAAACAAACCCAAGAUCCAUCACCACUUCAAUUAAUUUGGUUCCUUGAUUUAUUUAUCUAUUUAUUUAUUAUUAUUGGAUAUAUAUCCAAUAAACUAACUUAAAACGUAUAUAUAAAACCAAGUAUAGUAGUAGAUGGAUGGAUCAAGAUCCAAAGAGAAAGUCAAAGAGCAAGCUCUAUACGCACCAUACAUCUUCUUCCAGUGAUGGUAAAAGGAAAGGACUCUAGGGAGAAUAUUAUGCGAGGUUUGAGGCAUCAUUGGCUUUUUGGAGGCCUCCACCAUUAACUCAACCAUCUCCUUAACACACCCGACGAAGAAACGGUACGGGGGGCCCUUUAUCCCUUGCGUCGCGAACAACUCCUCCAACCUCUUCGGUCUCCACCAAAGCACAUCCAACACCUUCACCACCAUGUACACGCAUAGCACUCCAAUGGCGCCGAGAAGCAACCCCAUCGUGCACCCCGUCGAUCGAUCGCCUCAAACUCUUCGUUUUCUUCUUGUAUACGUACGAGACUCGUGUGUCGAUCUACUGUUCCAUUUAUGUGCUUAUAUAAAGUAGAUCAACCGCAACGUACCCAACACACCUCUCUACCGUUGUGGGUUGUUGUUGUUGCAUCUAGUUGUAGCUCAUGACAUAGGGAGUGAGAUCAAUCAAUUUGUAUAUAAAGAAGAGCUUGCUAGCUAGCUAGCUAGCUGGUGGAUAUAUUUAUAUAUAUAAUGUAUAUUAUCUAUUUAUUAGAGGGAGACGUAUAUAUAGAAGGAUAUAUAUAUACAGGUGCUUGAGGGGAUUUAUAUAAGAAGGGGAGAAAGAAGCGUGGUUAAUUGUAUAUGAAGGGUCAACGAGGUGCGAAAAAAAGGUUGCUUAAAAUGACCGAAGUGGCCUUUGAUGCGUGGAAUUAAUGGAUGUACGGGGCUUAAUUAAUAAAUAUGAACAAAGGAACCAAUCAUUCUUUUUGUGUGAUUAUAAAUAGGAACAAAGGAACCAAUGUAUUGAUAAGCUAGUUUUUUAAAUUGCGUCCUUAUUUGAAGUGUUUUUGUAUUACGUAUAGCACAAACAUCACGGCAUUAAAUUUAUGAUUAAAGAAUAAAAAAGAUGGCCACGAUAAUAAAUGAGGCCUUAACAUCGGGUGAUUGUUUCCAACUUAAAUUGCUAUAAUUAAUUAAUUAAUAUAUGACUUCACGCGAGGGUUGUAUUGUUUUCUCCGAUAAGACGAUUGGAAACUCAAGUUGCAAAAACAAAGAAGAGUGGUUAAGAUUAACUUUACAAGCUCCAUGGCUCUCGCUAGCUCGCGCGGGUUAAUUAGUAGAUCAGAGCACGUAGUGAAAUGUAACUCGAGGGAAAAAAAAAAAAAAAAGUGUAAGAAGAAUCUACAAUAUUAUUAAAAUUUUUACUCCUUAAGAUGAGAAUGUCAGCCAAAUGAUGUGCAUGCUAAGAACUCUCCCCAGCUUAAUUUUGCUAGAGGACUAUAUAAGUUAAAACUGAUUAGAAAAAAAAUUAAUUUUGAAAGGUUGGAUAGUAAAAUCAAAAUAAUUUAUAGUUUAAAUAAAUUUUAAACACUUUCUCCUUCUCGAUAUUUUGAUUGUUAAAUAUUAAUUUUUUAACUAUUCGAGCAAAAAAAAAAAAAAAACUUUAGCGAAAACUGGGUCAAAUAGAUGUUUAAAUUAAGUUUAUAGAAGGUUAUCGUACGUGAUGGGCACAAAGGAACAAACACUACAUUUGUGAGGGGCACCUUGCUCCUCGCGAACAUACCUUCCCAAAGUCCCAUGUCUUAAUGGGACCAAGACAUAGGGACAGGUUCGGGACCAUGUGCUCCCAUUGGGUCGCCCAAACACGACCCAAACUCUCGGGCUCGGGAUCCGGCUCGCCUUGGGCUCACCAAGGUUGCCUCCACUGUGCAAUAAAUCAAUUCCUUGAAAAAAGAUCACCAUUAAUUAAAAAAAAAAACAUUCUAUUUUAAUAGGAUUCCCACCACUAUUUCAUAGGACUCUCACUUCAUCUCAACAUUCUAUUUUUUCCUGACAAAAAAUAAUUUUACGUUUAGUGUACUCUUAUUAAUUAGUAUAGUAGCUAUGUACUCAGUAAAUUUUUAGCCAUUAGUUUUGUUUUAAAAUAUGUAAAAAUUUAAUAGCUAAUCCACCCAAAUUAACCCUUCUUAAUUAAUUCCUUCAUCCCAACUAAUCUAUCAAUUAACUCUCAUUAACCAACCCUCCUCCCAGUUAAUUACUGGUACGGCACCAGGCACUGGGCACCACAGCACCACAGAACUUCCAUAGGAUGAAAAAUAUAUAUGUUCAUUGGAAAUCCCCUCAUUAUGGAAUAAGAUGCUAUGUACUCGUAAAUUUUUAGCCAUUAGUUUUGUUUUAAAAUACGUAAAGAUUUGAUAGUUAAUCCACCCAAAUUAACCCUUCUUAAUUAAUUCCUUCUUCCCAACUAAUCUGUCAAUUAACUCUCAUUAACCAACCCUCCUUCGGUCCUUCCAGUUAAUUACUGGUACGGCAGCAGAGACAGGGCACCACAGCACCACAGAACUUCCAUAGGGUGAAAAUUUUGUUCAUUGGAAAUCCCUUUAUAUGGAAUAAGAUUUAUUUAUUUUUUUUUUUUUUUUUUUUGGAGAUAGGUUGCAUGCUAUCUCCACUUCGUUUAUUUUAUUUAGAAAUAAACUUAGCUGGAAAUAUGAAUCAACUAGGAUUUGAAUUUGGGACCUCGGAUAUCAGCCGCCAAAUCCUUGGCCACUUGCGCUAGGGGUGGUUAGUUAUUUCACAGUUAUUAAUGCUUAUUUUUGUUAGAUUGCUGAUUAUUUGAACAAUAUUCAAGACAUAUAUUCGGCCAACUCAUGCACAUAGGCACCCACUAUUUACAAACUAAAUUUUAUAAUUUUUUAAUAUAAUUUGUCAAAUAAUCAAAGGGUCACAAAAAUAACUAUUUUCAUGGUUGAUAUAGUACAUUUGUAAGUUCAACGGUGUAAAAUAAUCUAAAUUAAAAAAAAAUUUAAUAGAAAAUUUAAUUUAUCAUCCAGAGCGAGAUCAUCUCUUCCCAUAGGAAAUAUUCUAGCACUAUUUUUUAUAACAUUUUUACUUUCAACCUUUCAUUUUAGAUUAUUUGUUCGCUAGACAAAUAAAAACAAAAUAUUAUGAAUUAAAUUUUUAGAUAGAGCUGAUCGUCACAUCAGAUAUUUUAUUAUCGAAAAUAAUUUAAAAGUACAGAGACAUAUUUUUGAAAGAAUAGUAGUUUAGCGCUCUAUGUGUGUGUGUAUCAAAAAAUAUAUAUACAUAAGAGGGUCAUUUGGGAUUUGGGUGACGACUUGAGAUGCACCUGGAAUAGGUGGAUGUUAAGGAAAGCCUAUUCGAAUAAGAUUGACCCAGCCAACAAGGCUCAGCGACGGCGCAAAUAAUCACCAAGUACCGUCGGAAGAAUUCCGAACCGAAAUCGCAUUCUAUCGGCGGAUUUUGCCGAGAAACGCAUCGGAAAUCACUUUUCGAUUUCUGCAAGGGUUUGGGGCCUUGGACAAUCAGUCCAGAGGUUAUCCUCAGCCCAAACAUGCUGUCGACAGCAGCUACCUCGAAGCAAAGAGCAUAAAAGCCCUUACCGAUACAUAAAAUCACAUCAUUUUAUAUGAUUUCUGAACUUUUAUGGGCCGUGCACGCAAACCAGAGGUCGAUUGAUCAGACCGUCGCACUCGCUGCUAGAUUUCAGUAUGUUGGAGGCCGUGCUCACCUUUUGGAGCGCUGCCGGCCACUGUGGCACGCGCACGAGCUACGCGAAAACCUGUGAAACAGCGCUCACAGCGCCAAGAUCGCAAUUAACUCGUUAACCAGGGCAUCCUUGCCCCUGCCGGAGGUGAGCGCGAUGUUCAGCACGAACCCCAGAUCAUCGUGCUUACUUCCCGGGGUGUCGGGGAGUCAUCGGAUCACCGGAAAGGUGGCCGGAAAGCUAAACUACUAUGCUGGAACAUAAAAACAGCAUACCGGAGCCUAAAAACAGCAUACCGGAGCAAUGGGAGUUAGGGUUGGCCUCUGUGGACCUUGGGUUCAGGCAACACAUCGACUCUCUUGUCAUGUAUUUCGAUCUGGUUGAUCGUAGUUUGGCGUUGUACACCCUUGUUUCUGCCUUCGGCCUUGGCACCGGCUUUAGCCGGAUUUCGUUUGAGCAUAUCAGCAUGAUUUAGUCACAGCACUGUGUAUUCUAGACACCAGGUUGGUUUGGCCACCAACAAGAGGUGUACGUAUCCGGAUAGGUCGUCGGUGACGCAUGAGUAAGCUCUCAGUGUCUGCUCUGUGACAGGCAACGCUUGAGGUCUGUGGACCAAUAUAGCAGCAUCAGAUUGGGUAUAUUUGGACUUAUCGUCUGGUUGACGCAUAUAACUAUAGUAGCAGUUGUCGCUUGUAUAUCUUCAGCUCUUUUGUUACAUUGUCUUGCUACUAUAGUCUUGUUAUAUGUAUACAUUCAGUUGUUUAUUACAGUAGCGGUAGUUGUAGUUUCUUUCAUACACAUGCCUCUUUUAUUCAUUAUUACUGCUACUGUAUUUUCUACUGACCCGUACUGUUGUUUAGCUCUUCCUGAUCCGGUGAGUACUACUCGCCUUCAUCAGUUUGCGGUACCUACUGGGAGGGGAGACAUGUUUACAUGUUCUCACCUUCCCCACUAUUUUUCAGGUAUCGCGGGCGGUGAGGGUUGAGACGAGACGUGAGAUACGUACAUAGCAGUCGAUAGAGCUUCCAACCCAAGUUAUUCGGUUUAGUUUCUACCCUUACUAUCCUGUUAAUAUAGCUUAGAUAGUUCAUAUGGUUCAGUUUUUGGGCAUUUCAGUUAACUAUCAUAUUUUGAUUUGGCUUUAAGAAUGUAAUAAAAAUGAUUCGUGGUUUUCGUAAAUAAAAGAUUUUCUACCACUCGUGAUAGCAUUUUUAAAGAAUAAAGAUUUCCGUGUAGGAAACAGUUUUUAAAAAAAAAUUAUGUGGAUUUAUGUUUAAAUAUUGAAUGUAUAACUGUGAUGUGAAUGGUGAAUGAAUGAUUGCAUAGUUGUUUCUAUAUUCAUUUGGUUGUGGUUGUACCUGGGUUACUUCUUGUACUUGUGCGACGCCGUGCAAAUACAGGGGAGACUCUGUCCGUGUGAACAGUAGAUUUUCUGUAUUUGUGGCGGAUCUGGCAUUUUCUGGGGUUAGGUUUUCAAAAAAAAAAAAAAAAUUCGCUGUGUUUUUAACUUAAAGGGACCUUGGGGCGUGACAGAUUAAAGUGGUGUCAUAUAAAUUUAAGGAAUAUUGCUAUUUUUAGAAUUAUUUAU
Molecule: long non-coding RNA, 51299 nt
Filed under: Ananas comosus (pineapple)
Lineage: Eukaryota; Viridiplantae; Streptophyta; Magnoliopsida; Poales; Bromeliaceae
Description: long non-coding RNA (ACOM_LNC008025)
Source: RNAcentral